RNAcentral lists this long non-coding RNA (49238 nucleotides) under Sorghum bicolor (sorghum). RNAcentral describes it as "long non-coding RNA (SBIC_LNC011079)". Lineage: Eukaryota; Viridiplantae; Streptophyta; Magnoliopsida; Poales; Poaceae. The record is from RNAcentral.
UCCAUAUAUAUCUAUCUAUAUAUAUAUUUGUAUCUAUACAUAUAUUUAACAGAAAAUAUACUCUAGAAAAGUCCCACGCAGAUAUGAGAGAGAGAAAGAUUUAGCCAUUUAUCUAGGUAUACGUUAUGGAAUUAAAUUUCUAUGCAAUAGUUUAUUGUAUCUCGAACUAUAGCCAUGAGAUCAAGUAUAAUAAAAAAUAGAAGUAUCCCUCUAAUUAAUGACAUACAUAGCCACUACGAUCUAAGGCUAGUCUCAAUGUAUAGUUUCAUGACACACUUAUCAAGACUAUAAACUAGGUAACCGAGCCACAUGAGUUUCAUGGGGAUGAAACUAAUCUAUCAUCUGAUGAAACUCCUUCAUUUAAUAACCCUGUCAAAUCAGCAAUUUUGCUUAUGUGGCACCCUAUUUAAUGUGCUUGAUACUCUCAUAAAAUAUACGUUGAGACUGGCCUAAGGAACAAAAGCCGUCGGGUUGACCACCCGUGUGUCCUGUGAGGCAAGCAUUGCCACUCAUCUAUCUAUAUCUACGUUAAAAUAUACUUUGAGUUUGAGAAAAGUCUCACACAAAUUUAAGUAUCUCAGAAUAUGGCCAUGAGAUUAAGUAUAACUAGGAGCAUACCCCGCGCGUUGCUGCGAGAAUUGUAGAUUAGUGAAUUGUAUAGUAUGAUGAUGUGGGCUAUACUUAUUUGUCUUGUUGGCGUGGACACUACAGCUGUUAUGUGUGCUAUUGGAUUUUAAUUGUAUAUAUGUGGUAGUGCAUUGCAUGUUGAGAUAAAUAGUUAUUGAGGUUUUACUUAGUGGAUUUCAAUUCAAUAUGGUAGUGCAUUGCUUAGGUGGAUAGCUUACAUACUUAGAGAAAUAGUUAGUGGGGUUUAGGAUUAUAAGAGUUAUAGAUAAACAAAGAAUGUCCCUGGCUUCUAAUAUUAAUGACCUAUAUAGCCACUACAGAUGUAAGGGAUGAUGACAAAGGCCAAGUCAGUUCACUUGUGUGUACAAGCAUUGCCGCACAUAUAUUUAGAUCUAUAUUUAUAUCUAUAUAUUUAACAUAAAUAUACAUACAAAUAUGAGGAAAAAGAAAUAUUUAGCCAUCUAUAUCUAGCUAUGUUAUAAAAUAAAGUUGUUUUGCAACAAAUUAUUGUAUCUAGAACUAUAGCCGUGCAUGAGAUCAAACAAGUAUAUAAAAAAGAAUCAAAGCGUCCGUUCUAAUUAAUGACCUAUAUAGCCACUAUUAGGGCACUCACAAUGCAGACUCUAUCAUAGAGUCUAAAGUUAUUUAUUACCUCGAACAAUGUGGACUUAGAGUCUAAAUAAGACUUGGAGUCUUAUUUUUUCUACCUCUUUCUUCAAUAAAUAUGCUGCCACCUCAACAAAAUAUCAUAAAUAAUAUGUAAUUAAUUGUCUUAGACUCUGUGAUAGAGUCUUGCAUUGUGAAUGCCCUAACUAUAAGGCGAGCAUUGCCGCUUCAGAGGGAGAGAGAAAAAAUGAAAUUCUUUAUAUAUUUAUUUCAUUUUUAGAAAAGAGUAAAUAUUUCAUCUUCAUCUCUUGGCACAAGAGAUUUGGUUUAUUAUUACAAUGGUUUAAAUCAAUAUAAAUAGAGUCUAACUCAAUUCUAGCAUUAGAUAGUCAUCCAACCAAACAAAGAACUAAAUUACCACCAUUCUUAGAACAUGACAGAUUUAGAAGAUUUUCUCCUUGUUUUCUUCAUUGCACUGUAACAAUGCCUAAUGACGUAGCCAAUGUAUUCCCCUCAAUAAGACUUGCAAAAAAAAGAUUUGGGUCAGCAAUUAUCAAAAAAUCACUUUAUUCCUUGUAAGCCAUAUUUGUCUAACAAAUAAAUGACAACAUACCACCUAUUAAUAACAGGUUAUUGUUUGGUCUGCGAAUGUUUAAAACACCCAUGGAAAAGAUCAAGGAUAUUCACAGGAGGUUUAGACCUAAAACCAAAUAAACUGCCACAAAAGAAAUUUAGCAUAUUACAAUCAAAGAAAAGGUGGUUAAUUGUGCUUUAGAACUAAAACGAAAUAAACACACAAGAUUUGUUUCCAUUCCAAUUCCUUCUCGCUAAUUUAUCUUAAAUAUCACCCCUCUUUUUUAAAAAAAAUAACACAAAAAUUUAAUUUUUAGUUUCAUCUUUUACGCCUAAUUUCCUGAGAGACUUUGAUGUCCAUACUGAUAAAGUAUUAGUACAUGGAAUUGACUGUGAAGGAAUCAUUAUUUUUCAAAAUCCAAAAUGAAAUAUCCCUUUCAUCUUGUGUAGAAUAAUAUUCACAAUUUUUUCUACAAGAUUAUUCUAUUCUAAAAAUGUUGGAUACCGUAAAUCGGGGUACCCAAGCUAAUACUAAAAAAGCACAUGCCUCCUUUUCAAAACAAAGGUCGAAGCCCCAAAACACUUAGCCAUGGAAAAGGAGGACAGUUGGGCCGCCAAUGCAAGAUGGCACCUCCAAACUGGGCCGGAACAACUCCUCCUCAGCCCAAGACAGGCCUCGAGCGACAGGAUGAUCUCUCUGUCUCGCCGAAGGCUAAGCCCCGGAAGAUUUCUCCGCCUCGUCCGAGGCUAAGCCUCAGACGUCUUUAGAACAACAUCGUGACACUGUAAACACCAACAUAGGUUCUCCUUCCCUCCUCUUGAACUAUAAAAGGGGAGGAAGGGUUUCAUUUGGACAGGACACACCAUACAAACCCAACGCAUGAGCCAAGUCUCACACGUCACAACGAGCCGAGACCUGGGACAAGCUCCCUCUCUCGCAACUCGCUUGUAACCCCUACUACAAGCACUUUGUGUGCAGGAUAAUGCAAGACUCCUCUCUCACACUAGACGUAGGGCACACUUGGCCUGAACCAGUAUAAAUCUUUGUAUUCUUCCUAUAUCACCAUCUAGGUUAAGGGGCACACAGACUCGUACUACUCGUUAGUGCUUGGACCACGAGUUCAGACACUGACAGUUGGAGCGCCAGGUAGGGGCCUUCUGUGUGUGACAUCCCUUUUUUCCUCCAAGAAAAUCUAGAUGGCUCAUAGUUUCUAUCCACUCCGUCUCGGCAUGAUCAUCUGGUUUGGGAGAUUGGAGUUCAUGUCACUCGGUUCUGAGUACGACAUGGUCCUUCUCCCACCUACACAAUGGCUAAAGAGGGUGAAUAGCCUAUUUAAAUUUUCUACUAACUCAACUAGACAAAUUGGUUAGUAAAACAAAUGGUGAAGCUAUUCUAGCACUAGCACAACUAAUCUAUGCAAGCCACCUACACAAGUCUAGCAAGAAGGCUAAACACCAAGUCACAAUAACAAACUGCAACUAAGGGCUAGCAACAAUCCUAAACAAGAAGACUAUGCUACACAAGAUAAACAACUAGUUAGGUAUGCAAGGAAGUAAAGGAGUGGAGAGUGAUUCUUAUACCAAUGUUAUAGAGUAGAGAUAUAUCCAAAUAAUCACUCAAAUCACAAUCACAAGAGAGAAUCCUUAGCAAGAGAUGACACAAGGUUUUUUACCAAGGUUCACUUGCUUCUCGGCAAGCUAGUCCUCGUUGUGGCAAUACACCCACUUGAUGGAUCACAAGCUAAUUGGCAAUCCAAAGCCAAACCUUCAGCAGAUGCUGCACAUCCACUCACAAGAUAGGGAUCCUCCAAGCCAUGAGCAAUCUACUAGAGUAGCCAAUUGCGAUCUUUCACAAGAAAGGCUCAAGAACCUCUCACAAAUCACUUGGUGAAGCUCAAAAUAAUCUCCAAUCACGAGCUCAAUCUACUAGAGUAGCCAACUGUGAUCUUUCACAGGAAAGGCUCAAGAACCUCUCACAAAUCACUUGGUGAAGCUCAAAAUAAUCUCCAAUCACGAGCUCAACACUUUCGCUGCUCGACGCCGUCUAGGGUGUUGAGAAACACCUAAGAGUAACAAGAAAUCUGUAGCAAACUCAAAGAUCAAGUGCCACUAGAUGCAACUCACUAAGCAAUGCACUUGAAUCUCACUCAAUCUCACUAGGAUUAGCAAUCAAGCAAGGAGAUGAGUGGAGGGAGUGUUCUCUAGCUCAAAGAAUGUCUCACUUGUUAAAAGGUGCAAGUGCAAAGCCCCAAAGGUUGGUCACCUUCUAUUUAAAGAGGUCAGCCUGACAACUAGCCAUUAGGGUUUUCUGUGGGUGCGUCGGACACUCCAACGCCACCCCAUCGGACGCGGUUGAGCGUCCAACGCUCGCCUGCCUCGCUCGUUAGAUUGCUGCCACAUGUCUCUCUUUAAACAUGGACCGUUAAUCUCUAACGGUCACUAGACCAUUAUUGAUCUUUUAGAGCAUGCGUCGGACACAUAGAUGCUAGGCAUUGGACACACCACCUCACACCGAACGCUACUCAGAGAGGUCUACAAACUCGUAGGGCCAUCAACGUCCAACGAAGGGGCAUCAGACCCACCCUUAGCAUUUGGUGAGUUCACAGAUGAAACCCUACUACUAUAGUGUCGGACGCUCUGAUGCACAGUUCAAGUUGCGCCUCACUAUGCUACAUGCAUCAAACACGGGUCCAGCAUCUGAUGUUGUCUGACCCAGCAUCUGACGGUGUUUCUCGCUGAGAAACACUCAUGUGACUUUUCCAAAAACUUCCUCCAAUGCAAUGAAAAAUAUGCAUUUCAUUUUCCCGAAAGCGCUGCAUUUCAUUUUCUUGAAAGCACUGAAUCUCGCCUUGCAAGCUCGGCGGGAGGGAGAGAAGAACUCAAACACCUCUUCACCCUAGGAACUCCACCUCCUUUGCAAAUGUGCUAACACCACCAAGUGUCCACCACCAUUGUGCAUGUAUUAAGGAUGAAAACGGUCAAAAAAAUCCUAAAUUGUUUUCUACGUCUACAUUUGAAAUACGAAAACAAAAACGAAAAUGGUAAAGCGGACACAAAAAUGAACACGAACUUACGAAAUAUCGAGAAUUUCAAAAACGAACCAAUUCAAGCGAAUUAUGUCAAACACGAUCGAUAUACGAAAACUCAAUACGGAAUACCGACUCGUAGUACCAAGUGCAUGACUAAGCACAUGCACGAUCAAAUUCAAGUGCAUAUAAUAAUUAAUAAAUAUAUGGUCCUUAGUCUUAGGUAUUUAAUACAAUAACCCAUACAUAAGUAUAAGUCUAGAGCAAGCCAUUAAUAGCUAGUAGGAUAAUAAGAUUUAAAAUUAGAUGUAGCAAUUAACAUACCAUUUUAGAAUCUGAACUAAAAUUAAAUGUUCGUGAAAUAUUAACUUGAACUGAGAGAACAACACCUCAUGAGGUCAAAAGAAAUGAGACUCGGUGUCGUCCAUAAAAGAGAGGGCAGCUGGCCACAAGUAGAAAAAAACACAACUCCAUGGUGACCGUUGCAGUUGGCUAAAUUCGGUUUAAACUAAAUUUUAAAUUCAAAAUAUUUCAAAUUAAAAGUAGAAAAGUAGAAAACGAUCGAAAAAUGUCUAAACCGUUUUCUACUUUUAUAUUUGAAAUACAAAAAUAUCUAAAAUACAAAAACAAAAAUGAUAAAGUCGGACAAAAAAAUACGAAUUCGAUCGGAUGAAAUAUAGAAAACGAUGCGGUUCGGUUCAGGAUAUUUCCGUUCCAUUUUCAUCCUUAUCAUGUAUGUUAGCAUUUCACAAAUAUUGUCAUUAAAGGAGUUAGGUUAGCACUUUACUAUAUCCUAAUGCAUAUGCUCAAGAUAUGGACCUAGUAGCACUUGAUUCGAGAGAUGAUUGUGAUUUCUCCUCUUGAUAGUUGGCUAUCUAUCCUAAAUCUGGUAAAUCACUUCUCUACUCAACUUAGACCAACAAAAGCAAAACCCUAUGUUUAUACCUUUGUCAUCACUUUACUCCUUGUCUAUCACUAUGAUCUCCACUUCAUGCAUCAUCUCUUUGUGAUCAUGCGUCCACCACUCUAUGUCAUAUCUCUUCUUCAUCAUAUGUGUUACUAUGCCUAACUUAAAUCACUUCAACAUAAUGGCAUUAGCAACUUGGUGUCAUUAAUUACCAAAACCAAACUUGGGCAUUCACCGCCCUAGGCACUGGUGUCUCAAGGCCUUGAGGCCCUGAGGACACGGGGAGUUUCCUAGCUGCUCGAUCCUCAGGACCCUCUACAAUUGACAUGGGGGCACUCAUCACGCCCCCUACAGCCUACAACCCCUCUCCUAGGGCCAUUAGCCCCUCCUAGCUGGCGAUCCCCUCAUCUAGGGUCAUCAUCACCCAGUCAAAAUCAUCAUCUCCUUCUUCUUAUUCUCCCUCCCCCUCAGACAUAGAGGGAGAUGGAGAUUCCUCCUUUGGAAGGACAUCACGCCUUUGUUGGUGGUGGAGCUUAUCUUGCGCAGCCUUCUCAUGCAUUUUCUUGUCACGCUUUUCCUUGGCCGCAUUGGCCCUCCGCUUCUGUUCUUUGGUUGCCCUCUGGUUUCGGUCCCUCACCUCUUGGUCCUCUAGGACCAGAGGCUGAGAACUUUGAAACUGGCCGAGGUUCUACACAGAGGCUAGAAAGGAAGGGUGAACAGAAGAAAAAAGAAAUACUGGAAGAAAGGAAGAUGAAACUAAAACAAGGCUCUUACCUAGGAUAGCCCUCUUCAAGGCGCAUCUAGUGUGUCCUGAAGUUCUCCGCUAGGCCUAAUGACAUGGUGUAGGUCAUGUGCCUCGUGACCUCCGUGGCGGAAAUAGGCUCAGCAAACAUUAGGGCCCCCUCCAGAGAUGCUGAUGGCAUCAUUUGAUACAUGAACAGAGGUCGCAACGCCAGAGGGAGUACCCUCUGCUUGUGGAAAGUUGCCACCACACUGCCUGUGGUGAGACCCCUGUUCUGUAGCUUCUCUAGACCUACAAGCAGUGGGUCCAGUCUCCCUUGGUUCUCAGCAACGACCCCCCACUUCCAUUUCUCAGGCCUCUCCGUCACUACCUUCCCAGUGUAAGGGGGAGCCCAUUGAUGUCAUUCCAAAGAUAAAACUAGUCUUCCUCCCACCCUUAGUUUGAGGUCUAGAGAGAGGCAGGAAUGUAAAAUUGGGCCCAAUGCUGAUGCACUUGGAGCGUGCAGCCGCUGACCCUCAGUAGUUUCUAAGGGGCUCCCGUCCUGCCUGUCUUUGAGGACAUGUCCACGAAGAACAAAUGGAUCCAUAGGUCCCAGUAGAGGGUAUUCCCAGAAACCCCUCACACAUAGUGGAAAAAAUAGCCACCUAUGUGAUGGAGUUGGGAUUGAAGUUAUAGAGCUCCACCCUAUAGUAAUGGGUGAGAGCCCUCAUAAAUCGGCUCGCUGAAUCCCCAAAACCCUGGCCAUGGAACGCGAUAAAACUAACCACAUAACCUAGUGGCGGGUUAGGUUCCCUCGCGUCCAUGAUGGGGAUGAUCCACUCCGAGAAGUUGAGUUUCCAACGAGGAUGAAGAAGACUGGUACCGUCAACGCAAUCCUAUAGAGCCCUCAUUGAGACGUUGGAAGUAGGCCACGGGUCCGGAGCACCAAACACGGUGACAGUCCCCAUUCUCUCUCUUCUCUCCCUUUCUCUUCGGCAUAGGAAUGCAAGGGAAGCAAAGGUGGGGGAGACGAAGGAAAGAGCAGCAAAGCGCCAAGGGGAAUGAUCCAAGCACCCUCCCCUCGCUUAUAUAGAGCGGAGCGGGGAGGCCAACUGCCGUGAUGCAAUCCAAAGGGAACUGUCAGAUCCCACACAUUAAUCCAUCAUGGUAAACCACAAGCCCAUUACCCCCACUUCCUCGCUAACUGCACGCAUUAAAUACGAUAGGUGAAUCGUCUCAUCCACGUGUGACAGACGGUAGAGCCAUUUUGACUCCCUAAGGAACUGACUCAAAAGGAGCACCUGACCCUCCGAACCUGCAUGGUGCCUUCUAGGUAAAGGAAAUGUGGGCUCUAGCCCCUUACGGUCUAGGGGUUCCGAGGCUGGCCCAUUCUCUUGGGUUCGACAGUCACCCUAGGAUAACAGAGGGAGGGGUGACGGAGGACAAGCCCCAAUGAGGCUAAGGUCCGAGCACCAGCGUGUCCCAAUAAGUCAUGUCCAAGACCCAUGCAGGUGUCUCAAGAAUGGGAUCCCAUAGAGGGAGGCAUUGAGCCCUUUGAACCUACUAAAUGGUUCCGAGAUCCACCAAGACUACCCUCGGGUAUCAUAGAAUACGCCUAUGUGGCUGCCAGUCGACCCCUAACAAAUGGGGCUUGGGCUUCCACUUGGACCGACCCGAUGGCAGCUCACCGGGAGCACCAUAGCUCUCCCACCGAGGGUGGCGUGGCGUCACCCACCCCUCCUCUGAAUGAAAAGGAUGAAUGAGGGACACUAAAAAAGUCGGGAAGUCCUUGACUAACCCUUACCCAUGGGCAAGGGCUCAGGGGCUAUUCCUGCAAUAGGGCCAAAGCAGCUCGUGCAUAGAACACGAUUCUCCUCUUCGGGUUCCCCGCGUACCAAAUUAGCAAAAGCCCUUGAAGGGAUAGCCCAUCCCUUCAAGGCCUUGAGGGCUACAUCCUGCAGGUGCACUCGCACGCACCCAAGGGGAUAAAACCUCCCAGAGAAGAAAGCAACGACCUUGGAAAAAAUACCCCUAGUAAGAGCGGAAGAGCCUCUGAAGGAGUAACCAACUCCUCCACAAGCUUGGGGGCUAUAGUCGAGUACCAUAAACUGGGGUACCCAAACUAAUACCAAAAAAGCACAUGCCUCCUUUUCAAAACAAAGGCCAAAGCCCAAAAACACCUAGCCCUAGGAAAGGAGGACAGUUGGGUCGCCAAGAUGGCACCACCAAACUAGGCUAGAACCACUCCUCCUCAGCCCAAGACAGGCCUCGAGUGAUGGGAUGAUCUCUCCAUCUCGCCCGAGGCUAAGCCCCGGAAGAUUUCUCCGCCUCGUCCGAAGCUGUGCCUCGAACAUCUUUCCAUCUCACCCGAGACCUAAGUCUUAGACCGAUUCUUUCGACUCAUCUGAGCCCAUGCUCAGAUCCCCACCCCCCUAACACAGCACUCAGGCUUCUCACGCGCGGCUGCCGUACCACAAAUGGGACGUGAGACACAUCCUCGCACCCAUGUUGAGCAGGCAGUGUAUGGCGUUUGUUGUGCUGCCUACUUCUCUCACCACAGGACCUGACUCCUAUCACUAUGCGUACGGUCGGGUCAGGAGGAGUGGGCAAUAUCAAAACCCGAGUAUUGUAGCCACAAAACCCAUUAGCACUCCUGAAUAUGGAUUAAGGAAAGAGGCCUCGAGAGAUAACCCUAACGCAGAAUAAGGGCUCAGUAAGGCAGGAACAAGGUUAGGCAUAAAAUCUAUAACACCAGGUAUGGCUCGACAAGAACAACAAGAGAAACCACACCGUGACCACGAUCAAUCUACAGCAUUAGGGAUGGACCACCUCAACUCCCGUACGACACCAUGUUCUUAACCCACGCUUUAGAACAGCACCGUGACACUGUAAACAUCAACACAUGUACUCCUUCCCUCCUCUUGAACUAUAAAAGGGGAGGAAGGGCUUCAUUCGGACAGGACACACCAUACAAACCCAACGCAUGAGCCAAGUCUCACACGUCACAACGAGCCAAGACCUGGGACAAGCUCCCUCUCUUGCAAGUCGCUUGUAAUCCCUACUACAAGUACUUCGGGUGUAGGAUAAUACAAGACUCCUCUCUCACACUGGAGUAGGGCACACUUUGCCUGAACUAGUAUAAAUCUUUGUGUUCUUCCUACAUCACCAUCUGGGUUAAGGGGCACGCAGACUCAUACUACUCGUUAGUGCUUGGACCACGAGUCCAGACAUCGACAAAAAAGCUUAUUCCUUACUAAAGCCGAUCUAAAUGAUAUGUUAAUAGAAAUAGAGUAUGGUAGAAGCCAUUGAAAGCCCUAGUUUGGUUUUGGUAAUUGAGUGCCAAUAAGUGUCAAUCUUUAAUUGACUAAUGCUUGCAGUGAGUUUGUUUUAGCUAGGGUCCACUUGAUAGUCAUGAACAAGGCAUAGGAGAUGGUGGAGGUGGAAAUUAUGACCAUAUGUGUGCAAGUGUUCAUCCUUUGGAGAGAAGAUGGUAUGUAAAGCAAGCCCGAAGGCAAAUACAUUAUUAUGGUUUUGCUUUCACCAACCAAGGUGCAAUAGAGUGCACAUAGUUGGGUUUAGGGUAGAUAGCCAUAUUAUAAAGAGGGAAGUUCUUAAGUGACAGCGAUUAUCUAGUGCCACUAAAUGUGACUAACAUUUGCAUAUGCAUUACGACUUAGUGAUAAGGUGAGACUGCAAAAGGAAAAGCUUAGGAAAAUGUUAACUCAUAUGCACGAAGUGUUGGAACACUUGAAUGAAGUUAGCACAUUGAAACAAGCUUGGAAAAUGGAUUUUUAGGGGCUAUCUUGUGCCUCACCUGAUUUAUCUAGGGAAAAAGUCUAAUUUUCCUCCUAACUUUCACAAUAGUCCGUUUUUUCUCCCUUAACUCCAAAACCGGAUAAACCACCUCCCUAAACUUUUCAAACCUUGCAUUUACCUCUCUGAAGCAGUUUUGAAGGCACUUUUGCUACAGUGAAUGGUGGUUUUGCUACAUUGAUGGUGGUUUUGUCGUUUUAUUUUAGUUAUUUAUUUAUUUUGGCUUAAUUUUUUUAAAAUCAUAGUAAAUCAAAGAAAAAUCAUAAAAUAGAAAAUUCAAUUUUAUUGGACUCUACAUAAGUAGAUCUACAUAAUGGAUAUAUAAUAUGGUAUACUUUAGUACAAAGUUUUUUCUAUGAAGAUUUUGUCUUUUUCUUCUUAAUUUAUUUCGGCUAAAGCUUUGUAAAAUCAUAGUAAAUUAUAGAAAAAACAUAAAAUAGAAAACCUAAUUUUGUUAGACUUUCCAUGAGCAUAUCUAUACAGUCAAUAUAUAAUAUGGUAUACUUUAGUACACUUAUUUUUAUUGUAGCUUUAGAUCUGUGCUUUUUCUAAUUAAUUGAAAUAAUUUAUAGCGGUAACUUCUAUAAUUAUUUUGUUGGACUAAAGCAUACCAUAUUAUAUAUUCAUUGUGUAUAUCUACUCAUGUGGAGUCCAAUAAAAUUAGAUUUUCUAUUUUACGCUUUUUCUAUGAUUUACUAUGAUUUUUCAAAAUUCAGAUAAAUAAAUAAAGAAAGAAAAAGACAAAACCUUCGUAUCAAAAAUUUUGUACUAAAGUAUACCAUAUUAUAUAUUUACUGUGUAAAUCUACUCAUGUAGAGUCUAACUUUCCAUUUUAUGGUUUUUUUUUAUUUACUAUGAUUUUUCAAAGAUUCAGCCAAAAUAAUUAAAAAAACAAAAAAAAGACAAAACCACUGUCAUUAUAGCAAAACUAUCAUUCACUGUUGCAAAACUGCUCCAGAGAGAUAAAAUGCAUGGUUUAAAAAGUUAAAGAAGGUGGUUUGUUCAAUUUUAGAGUUAAAAGAAAAAAUAGACUUUUAUAAAAAUUAGAAGAUGAAAAAUAGACUUUUUCCUUUAUGUGGUGACCCUUUGGAGUUUGGCACGAGAUAACUAAUGAGGUACAUGUAAAAGCCCACACGAAGUACUGCUCAUAGGGUAUUUGGGCUGGGCUGGAGUGCCUAGCGGUUUGACUGGAAGCCCAGGCUAGUCAGCCCUGUUUGACGCACAGGACCAGGUGAGUUCAAAAACCCACGAACGCAUUAUUCGGUCCAAGUGGGCCAUCGGAGAGAUAGCUCGCACGAUUUAGUGCUUGGGCCUGCCGGUAGCAGCAAUGGCUGAAAAGUAUAUGUGUGAAUGUAGGCCGAGGCACGAUGGCUCGGCACAAAGUAUGCCAUUUUGGCCCGAUCCAAGCAUGGCACGGCCCAAUAGCCAGUGGGCCCAGACUGGCACGAUACGGUGGAGCAGGCCGUGCCUGGACCGCACUCCAGGCACGUGGGCUAGCACAGCACGGCCCGUAUUUUAUACAAGGCCCGAUGGAGGCCCGCUCCCUUUCACCAAACCAGCAAACCCUAUCUCAUUUGUUCACCCCAGUCGCCACUCCCCCCUCCACUUUUCCACGCGUCGCUAGGCGCAGCACCCGCACCCACGCCACAUCACCUCUCUCCUUCGUUAGCUAGGCGCAGCACCCACACAACAUGUGCUCCCCUUCUCCGCGACUCACCGACGGGGUGCGCCACCACAAGCUCCUCUCCUGCGCGAGGUCGCACCUCGGGAGCGAGCAGCGUGCCUAAGCUCCAUCCGGCUGCCGCCCCGAGCUUGGCCCGCCAAAUCCCCUCCACCUACUUGCUCUCUUCACCGGAUCCAACAUUGAGGGCCUCGGGGGAGAGCGCUCCGGUGGCCACUACCACCUCCCCGCCUCCCUAUGGCUCACCAGUCAGCGCUGCUGGCGAGCUGCCUCCCUUUCCCUAUCUCUAUGUCUCUGGCGAAGCAGGUCACAGGCUGGCCCAGCACGCUGAAUGAAGCGGGCUACUCGGGCUGGCCCAGCCCAAAAAAGGAACAUGACAUGUCGUGCCUCUGAAGACUAGGCACGAAGCACAUACAGUGCCCGGGAGGCAUGACGUGUCGUGCUGGCCCGACCUCUAUCGGGCCAUGCCUGGCACGGGCCCGUGUUGUGCUGAGCCGGGCUGGCCCGAUGGACAUCUAUACUGGAAAGACCACGGUGGGGUGCCGGUACCAUCUGACCGCUAGCACAGAGCGGGCACUGGAGUCGCUGUGUUGACUCAAAAUGUUUAACACAAAACUGGGGAAGUCUUCAACUCAAGUACAUGCAAUGUUUACAAUACUAAAAUCAUCCUUGAGUGGAGUAGGAUUUCAAUGGGACAUGAAAAUUGUUCAGAUAUGCUCAAAAAGGCUACUCUAGUCAAGAUAACAAAGAUCGUGAACACACACUUAUCUCCUGUUUUUUUAUGCUGUUCUUCCCACAGCAUAUUGUUUUUUUGAGGGAGAGCCACCAGCAUGCUGCUGUCUGGUCCUACAGACCAGCGCCAUCACAAAAAUGAAGCAGGUGCUAUAUGUAUGAACAUUGGUGUACAUGCCUCACAUGGAGUGUUUCCUUGGAUAUGUCAAAUAUAAAACAAAAACGGGCCUUCCAGCUUCACUUGCUGCGCUUCGGAUCAAACUCGACACACGUAUCCAUAGCUGUUUUCAUCUGUACUCAGGAAAGUACAUUGAUGUAAAAAAAUAAACUUGAUGAAUUAUACAAUGCACUUGCACUUUUGUGGACCAUGUGUACAAUAUGCAGCUGUUCUAGCACCAUGUACCGACCUAAGUUUUAGUUGAUAGAAGCUGUAUGCAAAAUACUGCAUCGAAACCCUUUUCCCCAUUUUUGAUCUAUUAGAUAUACUCUUAUAAUGCCUUGAUGCCAACUAAAUUCAUGCACAUUUACAUAGCAAUUAAGCUGCAGGAAAAUUCAAGUGUGAAUACCUGGAUGAUGUUGGUAACUUGUUUCACUGCCCAACCAACUAGAGUUGAAAUAAACACCAAGAGAGUGAGGGGACCUUGCUUCAGGACACCUCUGCAUGUCUGUUAAAAUGAUACCGGAACAUCACAUGUUAAGUAACUGCACUGGUCAAUUAAGGAGGGAACUAUAGAAAUGAUGGCAUCUUACACCAAGCAAGCUUGUCGAUUUCUCAUCAGCAAAGAGAAAGAGGAUAAUAUAUAAAACCUGUAAAUUUGGAGAAAUUGAAGAAUUAUGUGUUAGAGGGUGAAAUAUAAAGGAUUGCAUGAAAGAUUGCUGGAUUUGCUGAGUGCUAGCAUAUUGUUUAAUUCACUAAUCACUAUAAUGUUGAUCUCCCACAAAUUUAAUGUCUGAGCAUAUUGCAAAGUAUAAGUGAACAACUGAACAUACCUCACAAGAAACACAACAGAAUGCCAUAAAUGGCCUAUACCCAUAAUAUAAUUUCAGAAGCCAAUUGCCUGUGUUCUUUACAUCCUUGUGGCUAGUCUUACCUGACAGGAAAGAACUAGUACAAAAAAUAUAUCAUUAGAUAACUAGCAAAUAAUAAACAAGAAGAGAUUCUUAACAUAAGAAAUUCAUGUGUAGCGAUCAUGCAACAUAUGCACCAUGAAAUCAUCAGAUUAUUCUUGAAAAACUAAUUAUUCAGAUUUAUUAUGUUCCAUCUUCUGCUAUCAUUGAGAACAGGAUUACACACUGACUAGAAAAGAACAAAAUGGGAACUAGCAGGAAUUGAACAAAGUGGUAGCAAAAGUUAACCUGUACAUUUGAAACCAGUGGCUUGUAAUAUCCAACCCAAGCAGCAUCAAGAAAACUAAACCAGGUCUAUAAAAAUAUUUGAAAUUAGAAUUUGUACUAGGUAUCAAGAUUCAGGAAAAAUCAAUAUAAAAUGUUUUGCCUUCAUUACCUGUAACACUGUGAGAGAAGGGCCAACAAACAAGCAGUGCUAACCCUGAAGAGAAGGAAUGUGAACUACGAAAUUAAUUCAGGCUGCAGAAUGUAUUCACCCUGCAUAUACAGAGUUCAAUGAUUUAUUCAAAGAAUACCUAUCUGUAACCAUGUCCAACACAGCUCCGAAUGUAGAUGCUGAUUGAUAGAAUAAGAUAAACUGAUCAGACAAUUUCAGAACUUACCGGCAUAUAUAACCUUCUCAAAGUUCUUAAAACAUGAAAUUCAAUCAAUAUUUAUUCAUUACCUUGAUUAAACUUCCGUGCAAACCAACCAUCCACGCCAUCCAGGACAAAACUGAAAUUUUUGCAAGGAUAGAUAGAUCAACCUUUGCAUAUUAGAGUGAACAUACAUAGGCUGCAGAAAAGUUUAUGACAAUCACCUGAAGAAGUACAGCAUAGCAAAGAGGAGCCUGUUGGAAUAGCAAACAGCAAACGCAAUGAAAUUUAUGAUGAUCCUGAAAUACCCUGCAUGAUAGCAACUAUUGAAUGUCGAGUCCAAUAGAUUUGCAUUUUUAAGACACAUGCUAAAAGCAGAUUAUUUAAUAAAUUUUAUUCUUAGUUGAAAUCUGAACUUUAUUAAGUUACUCAUCCACAAACUAAAAGUAAAAACUUGAAUUCCGCAUGUAAAAUUAACAAAUUACAUUGAUGGGGGAACUAUGUGCUCCAUUUGCAUAUAUUAUUAAUGAAAUUCCAGUUAGAUCGAAACAGUAAGUGAACGUAAACAGACAACCAUUAGAAGCAUACCAAUGAUGUUAGGGAUGUACAGAUAAACUGACGGCAUUUUUUCUGCGGAUGACUGUGGCAUGGUGAAUCAGAACAGCUUGGAGACAAUCAAUUCUUCACUAAAAUUGAUGGUGGAAGUAUACUUAGUGGGAUUCCUGCAAGAUAAGAGAUGGAGGAGUGGCGGAGCUGGUCAAUAUUCACACCUAAGGCCAUUAUCCAAGUGUGUAUACCACCUGCAAGGAUCAAAUACAUACCACCCACAACAGGUCUAAUACUGGUAGAUAACAAAACAAGCUCAUAAAUGCAUAAGUUUAUAUUAGAUCAUAUCUCAAUUUCAUGCUUAGAUCUUCAGUAUACUUCAAAAAAAAAAUAGUAAAAAGAACCUAAUUAAGUUCGCCCUCACCAUUCAUAUUCAUAUAGCAUUUUAAUGUCAUGGUCCGUACAAUUCUAUAGUUCUAUACGAAAAUUGACAAAGAUAUAUAAUCAGACUUGUCAAAUGGCAAGUGACAUGAGGAUUUAUGGAUUGGGAAUUCAAUGUUGAAACAAAGAUUGGAAUUUGGAUUGGGAAUGGGACAUUUACCUUGCUGGAGACCGGAGUUGGGCCAUGCUUCUGUGUGAGUGUCGACCGGACCGGCGACCGCGCCCACGCCAUGCCCGGGCGCUGGGCUGCCCACUUCCGAUUUGAUGCCCAGCAGUAGCACCACUGUGGGCGAGGCUCCGAUUUUAUGCUCCACCGCCAAGUCCCUUUCUGAUCUGAUUCUCCAGCGGCUAGGGUUCGAAGCAGUACGACCAAGAGCGGCAGGAGAAACGAGAUCGGCGGCGGUCUGCGAGACGCGGACGGCCGGACGCUCCCCUGUAGUAAGCGAAGACGAUGAGAUUUGGAGAAAUAGAGCGACGCUUUUUGUUUUAAAAAAAUAUUUCUUUAUUAUUUUCUGCUUUCUAGAGUAUUUUCUUAAUAUGUCAAGUGGGUCCUACUUACUGCCAGUGGCAGACGGGAAGCAUAUGAUUCUGAUUCGUCACAAUCCAUCACUUUUUUUUUGGUUCUCUUUUUGCUAGGAAUUUCACAACCAGCGUUGAGAGUAUCUGAAUCUGAAAACUUAUCAGUGUACAGCUCACAAAAUCUCUUUGCUUAUAGGUCAUGCAUGAUCAUGAUAUCUUAAAUAAUUUGUUUAGGCCUUGUUUACUUCCACCUCAAAAUCUAAAAUUUUUCAAGAUUCUCCGUCACAUCGAAUCUUUAGACACAUGCAUAGAGAGACGAAAAUAAAAACUAAUUGCAUAGUUUGAUCGAAAUUUACGAGACGAAUCUUUUCAACCUAGUUAGUCUAUGGUUGGACAAUAAUUAUCACAAACAAACGAAAGUGCUACAGUGUCGUGAAUUUUUUUUUCUUCGGAAACUAAACAUAGUCUUAGGCGUGUUUAGUUCUGAAAAGAUUUCAGAUUUCGGUACUGUAGCAUUUUCGUUUUUAUUUGACAGACAUUAUCCAAUUAUGGACUAACUAAGCUUAAAAGAUUCAUCUCGUGAUUUACAGGCAAACUGUAUAAUUAGUUUUUCUUUUCGUCUAUAUCUAAUGCUUCAUAAAUAUGUCUCAAGAUUUGAUGUGACAGGAAAUCUUGAAAAGUUUUUGGUUUUUUGGGUGAACUAAACAAGGCCUUAGACUUAUUUACUAUUACUAGGAUUAUUUCCGUGCGUUGCAAACUUGCAACGCUAAAAAAUCAUGAACUUGAAAAAUACUCAUCCUUGACGUGUGUCCAAUGCCCUUUUGAUGACUGAAAUCUUAGGAAUUGUACGUUGUACAACAAGAAUGCAUAGUGUACAUAAAAACACUAAAGUAAUUGCUCAAAAAGAUGUGAUGUACAAUAAUAUCAACAACUACAACACUGAAAGUUUAUUUGCAUGGAGACGUCAUUACACUGCCCAAAACAGAUUUCAUCUUUAGGAAGAGCAUGCACAUAUUGUUCUUCUUGUACUGAAUAUUACAUAUAUUGGUCUCAAAAAAAAGAAUAUUACAUAGUCAUAUGAAUAUUCUAAACAACAAAAUUAUGAAUUAGUACAAUAGAAGGUACUACAUAUGAAAACAAAUAUUUCAAAACUAUCUGCAUAGUCCAAAGAACUUGAUAAAUAAAUCCUUCUAGAGCAUGUACAAUUUUCUAUAUUCAUUGAUCUUAGAGCAUCUCCAAGAGUUUAGCAAAUGACUUUCCAUCCAUAAUUUUUUAGCAAAAUAAAAAAACCCUCUCUAACAGAUUGGCAUCUCAAUUCCCCAUUUUGCUAACUUGGCAUCUUUCGCAGUCUAGUGCGCAAAUAUGCGCGCGGGCUCCGUACUUGGCAUUGGUCUUUCUCCUCAUGCUUAGCGGGGCUCUUCAUAUUGUUAGCGGGUUUUGUAACAGAACCGUCCAAAUUAUAAUAGAUUAAGUCUAAUAGUGACCACUUUCGUAGUCAAACCAUCGGACUUAAGCUCAUAUAAUCCUAGUAGUCCGUGAAAUCUCGAAGGAUCUCAGACUUUCCACUCGCACAGCUAAGAACGUAAUAAGUUCAGCGGUCGUCAUUCAUACAUUACAUAACAUUCGCAAAUAAAUCGAUCACAUCGGAGUUCAAAUAAGGUUAUUACAACAACAAGUCUUUAAGUAGUAGCGUUAUAGUGCCAGAGUCUGAUCAAUUCCAUAACAACAAAAAAGCCAGAGUGACCACGAUUUUGGUCUAAGCAUCUCCCAUAGCUGGGUAAAGACAAUUAAUGUAAUACCCAUAGUACAUCUAUAAAAGCCCUAGUUUGGUUUUUGGACAAUUGAUGAAACCUAUAUGUACUAACAUUUGUCAUGAGUGAAAUACAAUAAUAGAUUGGUACACACCAAGUGAUGGAGCUAGAUAAUGAUCAUGAUGAUGGAAGUGAUCAAAAGAUGAUAUUCAAGUGCUCCAACUUGAUAAAAAGAAAGAGAAAAACAAAAUGGGCUCAAGACAAAGGUAUUUUUAAUAGGGCCAAUUUAUUUUGUCACUUAAGACACCAAGUGGGUGUGAGUGAAUUUAGGAUAGAUAACCGUACUAUAAUGAGGAGAAAUCUUUAGUUGCAAUGGUUAUUUAGUGCCACUAAGUAUGAGUCUCAUUUGUAUAUGCAUUGCGUUUAGUGACGUGGUGAGAAGCAUGCAUGAAAAAGUCUUUUAAAUAUUUGUGAAAAUCUAAUCCUUGCUAAAACGAUGUUUGGCAUACUUAAUUUCCCAUCAUCUGAAAUUUUGAAUCAUAUAGUGAACUGGGGUCCUAUGGAUACAAAGACUGUGAAAGGGAAAAUUCGAUUUGAAAAAGGAGUUGAAAAUGAAGUGUAUAAAUAUGAGAUUGAUAAGGUAUGGGUUCAGUUUCGUGGCUUACCAAAAGAACUACGAGAAUUUCCUAUUAUUUGGGCAAUUGGCUCAUUUAGGUGUUUCUCGUGCUGUGGACACAAAAUUCAAAAAAAAAUUCGGGCGGUCAAGAAUGAAAGUAGCUGUACUUGAUCCUGAUCUCAUCCCGGACCUAGUGGAUGUAGUUAUAGGGGAUUUUGUUUAUGAGCUACAAUUUCGUGUUGAGAAAGAUACAAGAAACACAUGGCCUUUUAACGUUCAGUUACGUCACAAUAUAGAAUUUAUGUUACAAAUUAAGAUUUGUGACAUCAAGUUGACAAAAACCAAAACGUGGAAAAGCCCGCGUCAUAAAAUGAUUAUGUGACAUUUAUUUGAUUCAUGUCACAAGCAUAUGACAUUGGUUUAUUGUCACAAAAUCGUAGGCUUUGCCACGUGGCAGGUGACAUGGCAGAGAGAAAAAAUGUCACAAAAUGAGUUUUGGCCCACUAAAGCCCACAUAGCUCAUGGGCCUGAAAUCUAUUUGGAGUAGUGUUAGCUGGUCCAUUAUUUUCAAUUACAACCCAUAUAAAUUUCGAGCCCACAAUAAUUUAGCCCAAAUAAUUAUUUUUGUCCUCACAAUGCAGCCCAGCCCACAUAUUUCAGGUCAUUUUUUUCCAAUCCUAGAAAAUUCAGCCCAUACAAUCUAGUCCGCAAAUUCAGCCUAUUUUGUUUCCAGCCCACACAAUUCAUCCCAUACACAAUAUUUCAUCAUAUGCAAUUAUAUCCAUAUCAUUUUUCAACACAUACCAAAUCAGAUUCAAAUUCAAUACCAUUACAUUCAUCCACAAAUUCAUUACACAUCAGAUAAGUCUCAAGUCUCAAAUUUCAACUUGCUGGAACAUAAGUGCAAUAGCAACACAACUGUAGCAACAGCACAACACCCACGGCAGUAGCAGCACAUCUCUCUGGACUGCAGGCCGACAUUGCAAAGAAACGUUGAUUUCUGCAGAACAUGAGCUAUAGCUUGGAGAGGAGUGUUCGAACCUUUGCCUUCUUUUGUUGGUUCAGCAACAUAAGUCUCCAUUUGAGCCUAGCAACAAUAAUACCAAAUAAUUCAGAUUUCUAUACUUGUGUCUAGAACAUUCUAUGUUUGUGAGUACAAGUUAUUUUUGGUAGAAUGCUAUGAAAAUUUGGUAGUAGUCUACUGGAAACAUAUGCUAGCUGUUGCAAUUUUUGUAGAUUUUAUGUGCACGCUUAUUAUAUGUUCACAAACAGGGGUGAAGCUAGAAAAAUUGGUCGCUGGGGUCAAUACUCACAGUAGUAACUAGUAAGUGCUAAGUCAUAGGUUACAAUAAUAGGGUUUUUAAUUUUGGUAUUGCAAAAAUUUCCGCCACAAUAGGAAGUCAGUCAGUCACCUGUUGUUUAAUAUCACUUGUUGCUUAUUGUCCUCCUCAAGUUAAGACAUCUGAAACAACACAAUUAGUGUUAAAUAUCAUAUGCAGAGGCACACGAAAAGAUUUUAAAACUACUGCAGACAUUCUAAUGUAUAAUUUAAUUAUCAGAUGAAUUAAAUGAAAAGCUCAAGGAGGUAAGUUAAUUUAUAUUUAACUAUCUAAUGUACCAACAUGUUAAUUGUGACAUAGGCUGCUCUCUACUAAUUCAAAACAAUGUAAACUAAAUUGCCUACUUAUCUCUGUUAUUUCAGUACACUGUAUUCUAAAUAGCUGUAAAAACAUUCUGAAACAAGCAAUUGUCGUUCAGUGUGUGUAUUCUAAAUGCUAGGAGAUCAACUGUAAUCAAUUUAACAAGAAAAUCAUGUCAGCAGUAGAUCAAAUGCUCAAGUAAUUUCACAUAUAACUUAAAUUGGCAAACUCAGUUCAUUAUAACUCAACUGCUCAUGGUAGAGUUAUCGCCUUUGGACAGUGCCUGUAUUCUAGCUAUCCAAUCAUGGGCAAUCAACAGUACUCGGAUGAACCUGCUAGCAGAUAAAAGAAUCAAAGCCUACUAAUGGACCUGCUAAUUUAAUAUGAACUAAUACUAAAAUAUUUGAAGGACAAUAAACAUUAAACAAUGGAACUGUUGUUCUAUAUAUGAAGUAGCAGGCAACCUAUUCAAUUUGCCAAAUAAAACAAGAGAGGGAACAGAGGCAGCGGCUGAGCCUGCUCGCUGUGAGAGGGAACUGAGGCAGCGGUUUACUAAAUGCAUGCAAGAACCUGAGGAGUUAGGAAUCGUGAUCUGGAUCCAAAGAAAGAGCGGAGACGAACUGAAACUGAAACGACCGUUCUAAUCGUAUGUUCUAAUCCAUGGUCGGAGGAAAAUAGUAACUCCAGAGGACACUAAUCACUAGUAACUGAAUUAGUUCAAGAACACGAAUCACUAGUACUACUAGUAAUAACUAGCUUCCUCCUAAUCAAGUUUGAUGGCAAGCUGAGUAGUACAGAGUACAGGUAGUACUAGAGAGUUCGAGUAGUAAUAACUAGAGAGAAAACCAGGACCAGUUGGAUGGUGGAUCUGGAUCAGGCGGCGGGGAUAGAGAUGCAGCAGCAGGCGGGGCAGCGGACGAGCCCGUUCUCGUUGCACUCGGUGCAGGCGUGGAACCCGCCGCCGCCCUUGAGGCUGUACCGCUUGUGGCUGCCGUCGCAGGCGCUGCACAGCACGUAGCGCUCGCCGCCGCAGCGGGCGCAGUUGCCGGGGAACGCGGGGUUGGUGAGGGCGGGGGCGACGAUGCGGCGGAGCUCGCCGGACUCAUGGAGGCGCCGGACCUCCUCGGCGCCGCUGAGGUAGCGGCCGCCGACGAAGACCUGGGGCAGCGCCAUGCGGUGACGGCGCUGCUGCUGCGCGUGCGGGUGGGGGAGGACCAGAGGAGCGCGGCGAGCUCGGGAAGGUAGCCGGGGUCUGCAAAUUCGGCAGCAGACGCCCAGCGUCGGAGGGGUGGGCGGCGGCGAUUGGUGACUAGGGUUUGGGGGGACACUUUUAUAUGACUGCGGCAUAACCCACACGCUAUUGGGCCGGCUGAAAGGCCAACACAGCCCAGGCCCAAGUUGGCCGCGCGUAUUCAAAUUUUUGAGUUGUUCAAAUGAGCUCAUAUAAGAAAAUGACUCAAACCAAAGUUGUAUAUCUUGAUGAGAUCUAAACCUUUGCAGUUGAUAAUUUUUUAUUUGAAUUGAAUUUAUUUAUAGUCUAAAAAUUAUGAUUGAGGUUCUCAUAUAAUGAAAUUCAAAUGUAAUAACAUCUAAAGUUGGUUGGAGAAAAAUACAAACUUGCAUGAAAAUAUGAUUUUGGUGUAUAAUCAUUUCAUAGAAAAAAUAAAUGGUUUUAACAAAGUAGCAAUGCACAUUGUUCAAAAUUCGUAUCUCUCUCACGUAGUUAUAUACAUAGCAAAUUAUAACUAUGUGAGUUAUGUUUAUUUGUGAACAAUGUGUAGUACUUUUUUGUUAAAAUCAUUUGAAAUUUUUAUAGAAUGGUUAUACACCAAAAUCAUGUUGCUAUGUGAGUUUGUAGAUUUUUUAAACCAAUUUUAGAUAUUAUUACAUUUAUUCCAUGGUAAUUCAACAAAUAAUUACAAUAAUAACUAAAUUUGGUCUGAAAUUUUUUUCAAUUGACACACCAAUAUAUUUUUGGUCCAUAAGCAUUCCAUAAAAAUUUCAAGCAGUUUUAAUAAAGUUGGACUAUAUAUCCUUCACAAAUAUAAUCAUCCCUCACUUAGUCACAUAACAAUUUGUGAGAUGUAUCUAUUUUGGCAUGGCAAAUAAUUACAGGAAACUAAACGAUUUCAAACAAAAAUGUUAUCAACAACAAAGUUGUAGAGCCAAUAAAGAUCUACAACUUUUGUUUUACCCAAGUUUCCACCAAACUUUGUCUGAACAAUUCAAAUUUUAAAUUUCAAAAUUUAAGAAAUUCGAAUAGAAUUUUGGGGCUAGUAAAUGAUUUCAAAUGAUUACAUGAAUUAGAUUUACCCAAACUUUGACGAGAUUACAUGAAUUUUUUUAGAUUUACCCAAACUUUGACGAAAUUGCUGAUAGUAUUUUUUAAAAAAUUAAUAAAAUAAUUUGUGACACACAAACAGGCCUUGUGACAUAAAAAAUAUUGUCACUAGAUAAAAUCAGACUUGUUAAAUGACAUUUAUUGUGACAUACAACUUUUAAUUGUCACUAAGUCACUAUGCCUAACAUAUAAUGUCACAAAAUGGAUGAUAUAAUAACAUUCUUAUAAUUGUCAUACUAAAAACGUUAAAAGCCAUGUAUUUCUUGUAGUGGAUAUGCUGAUUGGUGAGCCAGAGGUAAUUGAUAUGAACACCAAUAUGGAUGAAGAUAAACCCGCAGAGGAUAAGAAACCUGAAAACAUGGAUGAAGAUGGCAAAAAGUUUGAGGAGCCCUUGAUUGACCAUGCAUCUAAUGAGCUACCAGCUGGUCCAGGUGCGGUAGGAGGACAGCAGCAGGCUCUUAGUGAGGUUGUCCAGCAAGAUGUAGUGGGCAACGCUCGUUCUGAUUUAGCAAAAUCCAGGAAACCAGCGGUAGUUCUUACUCCAAUUGUGGUGACAUCAACUGGAACUGCACAAUGGAAAGCUGAUCUGAUGCCUACCCAGUUUAACUCUGGCCUCCUCAGUAAGACUCAGGUUCACAAUGGUGGGACAGUUUCGCAAGUGAGAGCUAGUAAAAGGAAUGCGACAACUUCAGAACAAGACUCGUUGGAGAAGGCAACAAAAUUAAAAGCCCGCAGAAACUUAGACUCUUCUUCAGCCAAAGGUAAAGAAUCUCAACCCAUGUCUUUUAAUAUUCUUGAUGAUUUUGAUCUUUUAGCUAGAACUAAUUCUUUUGGGGUUAUUCUUGGCAAUAAUGAACAAGAAGUGUUGUGUUCUAUUAAUAAUCUUAGAACUUUAGAACGUCAUAGACUCAACGAGGUUGACCAUUUAGUUGUUGGUAAUAAAUGUAUCUUGGAUGAUGCUUCGACAGUUUGUUCCCUAGAGGAUAACUUGGAAUUAGAAGCUUUGAAUUUUAUUUGUUCUCAAAUCUCUGAAGGCCUAGGUGAUGGGGGCUGUGAUCCUUUAUGUCUACAGACCCCUGUAUCACAAACAACAAAGGCAAGCUCUAAGAAUAGGGAAAAAAAGCUAAAAAUAAGGUUAAAUGAAAGGAAUUUUCUGGAAUUGCAACGGUUUUGCAGAUACUAAGAAGUAUAGAUUUUUAUCCGACCUAACAAAAGAAAAGAACCUAGAUUUUAUUGCCUUAUCGGAAACCGGUAGAGCUAGUUUUCCGCAAACCACUUUAAAUAAUAUCUGUGCUGGUAGAGAUUUUCUUUGGCAUUGCUUGGCUCCACGGGGACGGUCCGGUGGCAUGCUUCUAGGAAUAAACCUGGUAACUUUUGAUAUUGGUGAAAUUGAGGAAGGGGACUUUUUUAUUCGUUUUAAAGUGUAUCACAAGGCAGAUGAUUUUAAGUUUAACUUGAUUUCGGUUUAUGGGCCGGCUCAAGCGGAUCAGAAAUCAAAUUUCUUGUCUAAAGUAGUGCGUUUAUGUUCAAAAGAAACCUUACCUAUUGUUAUAGGUGGUGACUUGAACAUUAUUCGUAGACCUGACGAGAAAAAUAACAGCAAUUAUAACGAUAGGUGGCCUUUUCUUUUUAAUGCAGUAAUUGAUGCACUGAACCUCAGAGAAAUAGAAAUGUCAGGUAGAAAGUUUACUUGGGCUAAUCAUCUACAAAAUCAGACUUUCAAGAAAUUAGAUAGAAUUUUAGUUUGUACAGAUUUGGAGUUCAAAUAUCCCCAUACCACUGUACAUGCAUUGUCUAGAGAGAUAUCUGAUCACACUCCGCUGCUAUUGAAUACAAAUAAUCCAUAUUCAUCUUACCAGCCCCAAUUUAAGUUUGAAUUGGGAUGGUUGCUGAGGGACGGAUUUUGUGACAUGGUAUGUGAUGUGUGGCACAGUGUACUCGUUGAAGGCACCCCAUUAGAGAGGUGGCAAGCUAAGAUCAGAAGGUUACGCCAAUACCUUAGAGGGUGGGCAAAAAAUAAGUGGUGCUUAUAAGAAAGAAAAACAGAUAUUACUAGAUAAACUUGGCGAGUUGGAUAAAAAGGCAGAAAGCUCUCUGCUUCAGGAAACAGAAAUAAAUUUAAAGCAUGUUUUACAUGAAAGGUUAGCUGAUUUACUUUGAGAGGAGGAACUUAAAUGGUACCAAAGGGCUAAGGUGAAAUAUUUGCUGGAGGGUGAUGCAAACACAAUGUACUAUCAUCUGCUGGCAAAUGGUAGACACCGCAAAACUCGUAUUUUCCAGUUGGAAGAUGGGAACAAUAUAAUCAACGGUGAUGCUCGACUCAAAAAGCAUAUUACCAACUAUUAUAAGAAUCUGUUUGGUCCACCAGAAACUUCUUCUAUAUUCCUCAAUGAGUUACAAAUUGAGGAUAUUCCUCAGGUUUCUGAACUAGAAAAUGAGUACUUGACAGAUGAAUUUAUGGAAUCUGAAGUGAGGGCGACAAUUUUCUAAAUGGAACAUAACAAGGCACCUGGUCCAGAUGGAUUUCCAGCAGAGUUUUAUCAGGUCUUCUGGGAUAUAAUAAAAGAAGAUCUGAUGGCUCUGUUUAAGGAAUUUCAUCAGGGAAAUUUGCCUCUGCAAAGCUUAAACUUUGGAACCAUAAUCUUAUUACCUAAAAAGAAGGACGCAAAAGUGAUUCAGCAAUACACACCAAUCUGUUUGUUUAAUGUCUCUUUUAAGAUCUUCACAAAAACUGCAACCAAUAGACUAAAUACUAUCGCACAAAAAAUCAUUAGACCAACCCAAACAGCCUUUCUUCCGGGUAGGAAUAUUAUGGAGGGCGCGGUAAUCCUCCAUGAAACAUUACAUGAGCUACAUUCAAAAAAACAGGAUGACAUUAUUUUUAAAAUAGAUUUUGAAAAGACCUAUGAUAGGAUAAAAUGGAGCUUCCUACAACAAACGCUAAGGAUGAAAGGGUUUUCACAAAAGUGGUGCACCUGGGUUGAACAGUUUACGCAAGGUGGAAAUGUUAACAUUAAGGUUAAUGACCAACUAGGAUCCUACUUCCAAACAAAAAAAGGCUUACGGCAGGGUGACCCAAUGUCACCGAUACUAUUUAAUAUAGUGGUGGACAUGUUGGCCAUACUCAUUGCUAGAGCAAAGGAAGCAGGUCACGUAGAAGGGGUUAUUCCACAUCUUAUUCAAGACGGCCUAUCUAUUCUCCAGUAUGCAGAUGACACGGUUAUCUUUAUGAGCGAUGAUGUUGCAAAGGCGGUAAACAUGAAACUUAUACUUACUACCUUUGAGCAACUAUCAGGGCUUAAAAUAAACUUUCACAAAAGUGAAAUAUUUUGUUUUGGUAAAGCUAAAGAGCAUGAGGUGUUUUAUUCGCAGCUGUUUGGUUGUGAUAUUGGGAAUUACACCUUUUGCUACCUGGGCAUACCUAUGCAUAUGAGAAAAUUAAGCAAUAAAGACUGGAAAAUAAUUGAGGACAGAAUUCAAAAUAGGCUUAAACUCGGUUCUUUCUAGUCUACCGAUGUUUAUGAUGUCUUUUUUCGAGCUCCCAAGAGGAGUGCUAGAAAAAAUUGAUUGUUUUAGAUCGAGAUUCUAUUGGCAGAAUGACCAACACAAACGCAAAUAUAGAUUAGUUAAAUGGGAAAUUUUGUGCCAACCAAAAAUUCAAGGUCGUCUAGGAAUUCAGAAUCUAGACAUACAAAACAAGUGUUUGUUAAGUAAAUGGCUUUUUAAAUUGUUAAAUGAAGAUGGUAUGUGGCAGGAACUUUUGAGGAAUAAAUAUAUCAAACAUAAGACUGUAGGAAGUUGUGUCAAAAAACCAACAGACUCUCACUCUGGAAAAGCUUGAUGAAUGUUAAAGACACUUUUAUGAGUUUUGGUUCUUUCAAGGUGAAAGAUGGUAUGCAAACCCGGUUCUGGGUAGACACGUGGUUGGGUAACCAGCCACUUAAAGAUAAAUUCCCCGAGUUGUUCAAUAUUGUGAGAAGCAAACAAGAUUCGGUGGCAAAAGUACUUAGCUCAAUCCCACUUAAUAUUUCUUUUCAUCGGAAUUUAGUGGGAAGGAACCUAAGGGAUUGGCAUAGAAUUGUUGCCUCCUUACAUGAUGUGAACUUACAAGGGGACAGGGAUGUUUUUAUUUGGGCUUUACAUUCAUCAGGAAUUUUUUCCGUCAAAUCUAUGUAUGCUGCGUUGGUUAACAGUGGGAUUAGAGUGUCUCAGGACAUUUGGCAAAUUAAAAUUCCUACAAGAAUAAAAAUAUUCUUGUGGUACCUAAAGAAAGGUGUGAUUCUAACCAAAGAUAAUCUGGCUCGAUGCAAUUGGAAUGGUGAUACGAGGUGUAGCUUCUGUCACUCACCAGAAAGUAUUCAACACCUUUUUUUUUAGAUUGUUUCUAUGCCAAAUUCUUGUGGCGCGCUGUACAUUUAAUGUUUGCGAUAUCACCUCCCAAGAGUAUAGAUGACUUGUUUAACAGGUGGUCCAAGACAGGUGGUAACAAACAUAAUUCAUUGUUGCUAACUGCAGCAUCAGCUUUGUGUUGGGCAGUUUGGAUAAUAAGAAAUGAAGUGAUUUUUGACAAAUGUAAACCAAAAUCCUUUUUGCAGGUUCUUUUCAGGGGAACCCACUGGCUCCGCCAAUGGACAAGGUUGCAGCGGUGUGAUGUUCAACGAGACCAGCUGAUCCUUGCAGGGCAGCAUCUAGAGACAUCAGCCUUGCAUUUUUUUGCUUCCAAUGGAUGGUUGUCAAAUAGGUCUAUUGGUAUUCUUUAGACAAAAAAACUUUACUUUGUUCUUUUUUGUGGAUCGCUGUAAGAUGUUUCUUCUACAGCUUGUGUGCUGGCAUAUGGGCCGAACCUUGUAAUAAUUGGCCUGACUCUACCUAUUGGUAGAUGAAGCCAGGUAUGAACUAUCCUUUAUCAAAAAAAAAGAAAAGAUAGCACUUGUAAAAGGUUUGAAAAAGAAAAGAAAAAUAAAGCUUAGGGACUUGUGCAGCAGCUGUGCACUGGUCGCUAGUGAGCCAGCUCGUCGUACUACCCAGGAGAGUGAUGUGCUUAGGAAGCUGGGAGCCUGGGCAGUGCACCAUGUUGGCAAGUGGAGAGGCGUUCAUGCUCGGCAGGUUUGUAGGAGGUAAUAAUUCAAGGCGUGCUUGCUGUGCUGCUACUUUUAGCUGCGCAUGGGCUCGCUUGGCUGUAUAGAUGGCCAUCGGGCCGGGCCGGACACAGGCUGUAGCGUGCCGUGCCGAUUUGACCCGCGUGCCUGUCGUGCCGUGCCUCAGCAGCCCACGUGUCUGGCCUUUGGCCUAAGCACGGGCCCACGGGCUGACUUCGUGUCAUGCUGGCCCGCGUAGCCCGGCGGGCCGGGCCGGCCCACAGCCCAGUUUUGUAAAAAAACAAAAUAACCAUACAAUGACAAUGAUCAUUUACCAACAUAAUGUCACAAUUAAUUUUUUACAACUUUUAACUUCUCAGAUUCACAAUCUCAGUCUUAAAUCAUAGAAAUAACAUCAAAAAACAUAUAACAUAAAAAUAAGUUGUUUGUGCAAUGCCCGCGGAGGUGGUACCAGGACGUUAUCGGGCUAACCCCUAAAACUCGUGCCGGGCCAUGCUAGCCCGCAGGCUCAGAGGUCGGCCUAAGCACGGCCCGCACCACCGGGCCGGGCUGGCCCUGUAACAGACCGUCCAAAUUAUAAGAGAUUAAGCGUAAUAGUGACCAGGAACGCGGACUUAACGUCCAUGUGAUGGACUGCCCAUCCCUCGCAAGCAGCGUGUGCCAGGAGUAGUCGCACAGACUCUAGGCGGGCGACCGGUGCGAAGACUUCGUCGAAAUCGAUCCCCUGCCUCUGGACAUAGCCCUUCGCCACGAGACGGGCUUUGUGCUUGGUGACGAUGCCGGCUGCGUCCUUCUUUGCCUUGAAGACCCACUUGAGGCCGAUGGGCUUGGCGUGAGCCGGUGGAUCCACCAGCUUCCAAGUGCUGCUGGCUUCAAUGGAGGUCAUUUCGUCGAGCAUGGCAAGGCGCCAGCACUCAUGGCGCACGGCUUCUCCGAAGGAGGUUGGCUCGGCGUCGCUUGCCAGCAUCAGUCGCUCCUCCAGUUCGCGGUGAGCGAGUCCAGGCGUCGGGGCUCCUCCCAGUACGUUGUUGAUGCGGUGGAAACGGAGAGGAGCGUCGUCAUCAUGAUCGGCGUCGAGGUAGUCCUCCACCUCGGCUCCUGGUGGAGUUGCGAACUCCACCUGAGGGUGUGCUGUGGAGCCGGAUGAUGGCUGCAUGCCGGAGGUCGCUGGAGAGCCGAACACGGGCAUGCUCGGUGCUGGGGACACAGUCGCAGCUGAUGGAGCCAGGGACGUCGAGCCUGACGAGGGGGUGACCAUGGUCGUCUGUCACACCCGGAUGUAAAAGAGCAUUCGGAUGCCAAAUCACAUGUGCGCCAGGAUCUCAAAUUCACACACAUGGAUCGACAUCAUCAAUGGUACAAAACACAGUGUUCAAAUGAAUUACAAAAAUUAGAGUAAAGUACCAUUAUUACAAGCCAGUUGAAUAUAAAAGUACGAACAGAAAGCAUAAUUUAGAUUGUUCCAUGAUAAAAGGGGAAACUAAACGCCGACGUAGCAGGACCACCUUGCCACAGAAAGAUCGACGACAGAACCACACGAGCCUAACAACCAGGCGACUCAGGGUAGUCCUUAGGGAAAUCACAAUUGUACUCCUGAUCGUUCGAGCAACCUUUAAUGAUUAUAGCAAGGGUGAGUUCAUGUCGAACUCAGUAAGCACAGACGGAAAGUAAUGACAUGCAAGGCUUAAAACAAGGUAAAGCUGACUUGGUUUGACUGCGGUAGCUUUUUAGUUGAUCACUUUUAGAUAUAACUCUAUUAUUAGAACAACCUACUACUUGAGUAGCAUAAACCCAACCCUUAAUUAGUGUAAGUAGUAAUUAGCAUCUUUUAAAAGACUAUCCUAAUAGUUAUUGCAGUCUAGGGAUUAACCCCAAUUAUUAACACAGGAUAGCAAUCCUGCCAACACGGAAUAGUCAUUUCGCCAAAACACGAAGUAGCAACCUCGCCAAGUUCCAUCAGCAAGUAUCCAGUGAAUCCAAUUUGCUCAUCAUGUGAGAGUCUGGGCCGCUCGUGACCAUGAGCACGACUAAUAUAUCAGUUUUACACUCUGCAGAGGUGUGCACGUUCACUCUAAGUCGUGAUUCUCAUUUGCCCGGGGUCAUGACUCUCCAAAACACUACCAAGGUGAGCAGGCAGGGUCUCACUACGAGACCUUUCACAGGGUCCAACUAAUAGGAUGCCACUCACAAGUUUUUGCCAGGGCGCUCGGCAGUCGAUACCCAUAGCCAUGGCGUACCGAGCAACCGACGACUUAAUAUUCAUUACCCAAGUUACUUCCUCACGCCUACCUAGAAAGUAACACCCUACUAGUGGAGGUCUUGCUAAUUAGUCAAGCCAGAGCCAUAUGGCUUGGAGCUGCACUGUAUGUCCGAGGAGGCCGCUCCAUGACUAAGUCCUUACGGAGAGCAGAGACGGGUACGCCCGGCAACCGGACCACCAACAGUUCCCGCUCCCCUGUCACCACCAUCAUCACGAUGCUCGUAAGCAUCCAACAUCACCAUCACCGCAGUGACCAAAGGUUCAACACAGUUUAAGCAUCAAGUUGAGUAGAGAGUAUUACUUGUUUAGGCAUGUGUAUAAGAUGAGUAGAGCAGCUAAGCAUACCUAAUAUAACCUAGUCUACCCAUAUACAUAACCCCAGGUGAACAAGGAAUAGUAAGUAAAGCUAGUUAGGUCCUUAGGGUUUGCAUUCAUUGGACACAUGCAUGGAAAGUAAAUGACAUUAAUGAGUAGGUUCAAAAUGAUCAAACGGUGUCUGCACUUGCCUUGAUCGUAGUCGGGUUGCUCAAACUCAGCGGGAUCCUGAUCCUCUUCCUUCACAAGCGUCUCGUUGGCUAUACGCGACAAUCAUCACACAUAGGAGCAAUACAUGCAAGCAAACAAGCUUAAUCAGAAACAGUACACCAAAGCAUUCGAAAAUAGAAAGCAACUGCACUACUGUAUUCUACUCGACGAGACGAAACUACAGCGACCAGAAUCACCUAAAUCAGAGUUACGACACAAAAGUUAUGACUAAAACAAGUUGGAUGGCAAAUCUGUCGAUUAGCUGAACUAUUUUUGUAUUUAAAACUAACUAAAACUGAAUUAAAACGAGAUUUGGAUUAAUUCUGUAAAAACCGACGGCUAGAAGGGCCUAACUGCAAAGCCAGGGGCAUAAAUUAAAUAAAAAUAUUACUAAAGCGGAGUGCGGGUUAAUUUUAAAUAAACGCGAGGGCCUUUUUGCAAAAUGGCCCGGGUCUUUUUUCAAAUUUUUGGAGUGUUAUAUCAUCGUUCUGGUGUUGGUGAUCACUGAAGACUCUGGGUCAUCUAGCUCCUCGAUGGUGAAAUCAUCGGGCUCGGCAGGGUCCGCCGUAGACCAUGGCAGGGUCCGCCGUAGACCAUGCCGACGCAACUGCUUCGUCGAAGACGACGUCGCGGCUGAUGUGGACACGUCACGUCGUGGGAUCGUAGACCCGGUAGGCCUUGGACCCUGGAUCGUAGUGUUAUAUCAAGCUUCUUCUGGUGCGGUGUGGUCACCUUCGUGUGGGGGAUGCACCCGAACGUCCUCAGGUGUUGGACGGCCGGCGUGUGCCCGUUCCAGAGCUCGUAGGGAGUGCGUCCACCAAUCGCCUUGCAGGAGGACCUGUUCAGCAAAUAAACCGCCGUCGACACUACCUCUCCCCAGAACACAGCAGGGAGAGACUUGGCCUUCAUCAUGCUCCUGGCUGUGCCCACCACAGUUUGGUUGUGGCGCUCGACGACACCGUUUUGCUGCGGCGUGUAUGGUGCCGUGAGCUGCUGGCGAACUCCGAGUUGGGAGAAGUAGUCGACGAAGUCAGCCGCGGUGAACUCUCCUCCACGAUCAGUGCGCAGCAUGAGCAGCUUCUUGCCACUCUUGCGUUCUGCCGCGGCCUGAAUGUUCUUGAUGGCGGUGGCCGUGGCGUCCUUGGACGGCAGUAGGGAGAUCCACACGAAGCAUGAAUAAUCAUCCACAAGCAGGAGGAAGUACUUGUUACCGCUUGGGGUCGCCGGUGUGAUGGGGCCGCAGAUGUCUCCAUGGAGGAGCUGCAGCGGCUCGGUAGAGCGCCACAGCGUCUUCUGCGGGAACGGCGUCCUUCUCUGCUUGCCGGCGAGGCAGGCCUCGCAGACCUGCUGCACUUGGUAGAUGACGGGCAGUCCGCGCACCAGGUCCUCCCGCCCCAUCUUGCGUAGGGCAGCAAAGUGGAUGUGGCCGAAGCGUUGGUGCCACCUCUAGGCGUCGUCGUCCGUGCGAGCCGCAAGGCACACCGGACGCGCGAUGGUGACCUCGAGCGUGUAGAGGCAGCUCGGACUCCGCGGUGUCUUGGUGAGAAGCCGCUGGUCUUCAUCGCGCACACCCUCAUCACGCCAUGCUUCACCAGCACCUCGUACCCGCCUUCGUCUAACUGCCCGACGAAGAUGAUGUUGGCGGUGAGUCGAGGCAGGAAGUAGACGUUGGCGAGCGCUCGGUGCUCCCCGUUCUUGCAGUGGAAGAGCACCGUGCCAGAGCCUUCAAUUCGGGCGACAGAUCCAUCCCCAAAGCGGACGGAACCUGUCACCCUGGUGUCGAGGUCGGCGAAGGCGGCGCGGGAUCCGGACAUGUGAUUGGAUGCGCCGGUGUCCAGGAUCCAGUGAGUCGAGUCACGGUCGGGGUCGUCGUCGAGCUUGGCGUGAACCUUCUUCUCCAGGACGAAGAGCUCGGGGACCGGGACCGAUGGCAGCGGUGCCGAUUUGGUGAGGAUUGGGGACGCCGAAUCCUCAUGUGCCGAGCCGACAGCCAGCAUAAGCGUGGCCUCCUCUUCCUCUUGGGCCACAUGGGCCUGCUGGGCUGCAUUUCCCUUCUCCUUUUUGCUGCGACAGUCACGGGCCCAGUGGCCCUUCUUGCCACAGCGAGGACAGGGGUCGUCCGGCGGCGGACGUGAGCUUCUUGAGUCACCGCCGGCGCCACGUCCACGACCGCGGCUGCGGCCUUUACCGCGCCCGCCAGAGCCUGAGCCACUGUGGCCCGACCCUGUCAACUUCUUGUACUUCUCAACCCAUUCCUCCUCGGUGAGGAGCAGCUUGCCACUGGCGGUGUGCUGAGCAGCUGGCUCGACGUCGUCGGCUGCCUUGAGCCUCCCUGUGAUCUCUUCGAUUGACAAGGUUGAAAUAUCGAGCAAGGUUUCGAUGGACACUACCAGUUGCUUGUAGCGGGAGCGGGCGAUGCGCAGGUACUUCCUCACGACCUUGGCUUCGUCCUCUGGAUCGCCGAGCGUGGUGAGACGCUAGACGAUGCUGGUCAGGCGCAGUGCGAACUCCUCAAUCGUGCAAUGCCUUCAUACUCCGCGCGGAGGUUCUGCGCGGUUGCAAUCCGCACACGGUCGUCGCCGAUGCGGAGAGUCUUAAUAGCCUCCCAAGCGUCCUUGGCGGUUUCCUUCGUCGUGAGCACGGGCACCAUGUCGCCUGGGACGGCGGAGCAGAUCGCGUCGAGGGCGCCCCGAUCUUGGUCGAAGUCGACGUCGUCGUCCUUGAUGGCGUCCCAGAGGCGGCGCGCCUGCAGCUUCAGCUUCAUGCGGAGGGACCACUCGUGGUAGUUGGUCCGCGUCAGCUGCGGCCACCGCCUCCUUCGCGAACGAUCUGCUCGAUGACGACUUCCCGGGUGCGCCGUGCGUCGCGGGUGCGUGAACGCCGCGCUGGAGACUUGCUCGGCGUGCGCGGCGACUUGUUGGCGGGCUUGCCACCGGACCCGUCGCCUUUCUCCUUCCCAGCCGGGGAACGGCCGCGAGUUGUCAUCGGAGACGACAUGGCGAACGACGGAAAUCCUCGCGCCUAGCUCCCAUGCCACUUGUCAGAAACCAAACGGCGAUGAGCGCCGACGGCGAGCGCACGAGCAGCGGUGAGGAAACGCACACGAACACUUGGACACCGUAGGUUUUGGUGCUGCGAAAAAACGAGCAGCGUUUUCUGUUUUGAUUGCGGUAAAUAAAUAAAGCAGUAAGGCAUCCAGCCACGGCGUCCACGCAGCACAUUGUGCGCGUCCAUCCCCAUGCACCACUAUCAUCGGAGCCGUGGCUGCAUGUCGCGAGUCAUGGCGAGCUAAUCUCGGCUUGCUCUCCUAGGCGCACGGCGACCACAGGUUAGUGCUGAGAAACAUGCAGCUAACUAAGUCAAGGCGCAAGGCUUAUCUAACACUUGCUUUAUUCAAAAUGGGCAAUCGAAAUAAUUUCAUGCCACUACUAAUAGAGUAUGGACUCUGAACUGCAAGCAUAUAUGAUGGUUCAGCUAUCAGCAGACUCACUUUUACAGCUAAUAUGUAGCAAAGGUACAAAGUACUGACGAAGUAGAAGUAAUAUCGUCAAUCAGUAUUCACUCACGUUUUUGGCUUGAUGACACUGGAUGCGGCUUUGUUCGUGGAGAUUCGCAAGUCAAUUGUUCUGUGGUCCAAGCGUGUGUCCAGGCCAACAUGAAUGUGCUUCUUUUCAUAAUCUCCAAGCUCUGCCUUGCCACGUCUGGGCAAACAUAUCAAAUAAAUGGAAAUCUGAGAAAAUUGAGGGAUGAGAGGGGGAUGACUUGGUUUGGGGAUUCCUGAUUCAACUUUGGUCAGGACAACAGCUGUGCGCAGGAACUACAUCGUCGCAGAGAGAGCCGAGCUGUGUGUCCCAGCGAUCACAAGGUAUUAUGGGUAUUAUGCUUGAAAAUGAAUGAAGGGAGCAUCGAGAUAGUAUUAGUUAUAUGCACUAAAUUUAUCCAUUAAGCUCUAAUAUGUUAUGAUGUCUCUUAAGAUUGUAACUUGUUUAGGAGCAUAGGGUUGAUGCACUAGCAGUAAAAGAUAAUGAUCAAUAUCUACUUGACCAAUUUCAGAAGUAGUGGGCCUCUAGUACAGAACACACAUGGAGUGUGAUUGGAUUGGAACAUCCUCUUCUCAUAAUACAGAACAGUUUGGGUGCAUAUAUGUUGAACGAGGGAGCAAAAUUUGAAUUGAGCAGUUGUACAAUGACAUAAAUCAUGUAUGCAAAAGAAAAAGCAAGAAAACGAGGGGUGACUAGUGGGACAAGUCCCUGAGAAGGACCAAAGUGUCCUUUACAGGUCGUCCUUUUCCCAUCCACAUAUAUAGAUUUCACAACCCAUAUAUUCCCUGCUACCAGCACCUUCGAGAUGUGAUCCGACGGACCUACAACAAUGCCAGCAUUGUUGCUUUUUUGGCAGGCUUCGGUAUAUCCAGGCAUAAAAAUACCCAAGGCUCAUAUUUGCUCCUUUAUAUUCUUCCUCCCACACCUCUCCUACAAACUGCUCUAUCUCUUCUCUUGUCCAUUGACAACAUUAUUCAGGGUUAGAAGGUGAACUUCAUCCUUCUCUUUUGCUUUAUUGUCUCCAUACUUGUGUUCUAACCCUUGCAUUUACCGACAUUAUUGGCUUUAGUUUUCUAGUUUCAUAAGCGUUUUAGCGAUGUUUGUAAGCUAUGCAUCAUUGACAAAGGGCCAUAUUUGCACGCUUUCUGACUCUCUCUUGAAUAUUGUUUCCCAAUACAUGUUCUUUAAAUUUGCAGAUGGCAAUACUGGUCAUCACCAUGGUGGACCUGCAGUGCUGCCGCUGCAGAGCCAAGAUCACCAAAAUCCUGGAAUGCCUCAAAGGUACAUUUAUGCUAUGCAAAAAGUUGGGAAAGGUCCAACCUUCUUUUGAUUUUGGAAGCAGAGUAAAAGUAUUUAGAGUCAUUAUAUAUCAUAUUAAGAGCAAUUUCUUACAGAAGAAUGAUUAAUUUUACAUAUGUGUAUGAGUAUACAUAGACAAUCAUUUUGUGUUAAAGCAAAAAGAAACAGUUAAAUUCCACAGUGGAAAAUUAACUUAACUGGCAACACAAAAUUAAUCCUGAUAAAGGUUUGUAAAAUCAUGUGAAACUCAACAUGGUCCAGUCUGAAAUCAGAAAAGUUCUGACAAACACCAUGUAGGCAUGCAUAUGCAGGGCAGCAUUUUUACAGAACAACCGGUUAAGUAACCAUGAUUAAGAGUGGCACAAUUGGAUUAUAUCGCUGGAUUAUAUAUAUUCUGUUCUAUAAGACUGUAUGCGCAUCAAAUAAACUCAUCAAUUAUAUAAUUUUGUAAUGCCGCAGAGGAGUUCUGCAUUGAGAAGAUUGAGUUCGAGGACAAGGUCAACAAGGUGAUUGUACGCGGGAAGUUUGAUGGCGAGAAGCUCAAGACGGUGGUAUUAUGCAAGGCAGGCAAGAUCGUCAAGGAGAUAGCCGUCGUCGAAAAGUGGCCACCCCCACCACCGCCUCCGCCUCCUCCUCCACCGGAAUGCAAGGUGGUGUCAUACCCAUACCCCUGUACCAUAUCCGUUUCUACGCUGCAAGCACCGCCACCGCCGCCACUGAAGUAGCCACGCAUAAUGGAUGAAGGGAUCCUAUUGCGCAUUUUCUAACGCUGUCUUGAACAUUUUUUCCCGAUACAUGUUCUUUAAAUUUGCAGGCGGCAAUACUGGUCAUAACCAUGGUCGAUCUGUGCUGCGCCUGCAGAACCAAGAUCACCAAAAUCCUGGAAGGCCUCAAAGGUACAUUUACUAUGCAAAAAAGUUGGGAAAGGUCCAACCUUUUUUUUUUUUGGAAGCGGAGUAAAAGGAUGGGGAGUAAUUAUAGAUCUUAUUACGAGCAAUUUCUUACAGAACAAUGAUUGUCCAUAUGUGUAUGAGUAUAGACAAUCAUUUCGUGUUAAAGCAAAAAAGAAACAGUUAAAUUCCACAGUGGAAAAUUAACUUAACUUGUAGCCGGAUGAAGGUAUCUAAAAUCCUGUGAAAUUCCAUAUGUCCAGUCUGAAAUCUGGAAUGUUCUGACAAACACCAUGUAGGCAUGCAUAUGCAGGGCAGCAUUUUUACAGAAGAACCGGUUAAGUAACCAUGAUUAAGAGUGCAGCAAUUGGAUUAUAUGGCUCGAUUACAUUUAUUCUUGUCUGUACGAGUGUACCUGCAUGCAUCAAUAAACUCAUCAAUUGUUGCAGAGGAGUUUUGCAUCGAGAAGUUUGAGUUCGAGGAUAAGCUCAACAAGGUGAUUGUACGCGGGAAGUUCGAUGCCGAGAAGCUCAAGAAGACGAUAUUGUGCAAGGCUGGCCACAUCGUCAAGGAGAUAGUGCUCGUCGAAAAGUGGCCGCCGCCGCCACCACCACCUCCGUCUCCGGCUCCGCCGCCGCCGCCCAAACCGGAAUGCAAGGUGGUGCCGUAUCCGUACCCUGUACCGUAUCCGUUUCCAUCCCAGAGCUGGCCAUGCCCACCAACUCAGCCUCCAUGCCACUGCUGCAAGCCGGCACCGGAAAAACCGAAGCCACAGCCGGAAAAACCGCCAACGCCGCCGCCACAGUGCAAUUGCCACUGCUGCAAGCCGCCACCGGAAAAACCGAAGCCACCGCCACCGUGCAAUUGCCACUGCUGCAAGCCGCCACCGCCACCGGAAAAACCGAAGCCACCGGCGGAGAAACCGCCGCCCUGCAAGUGCGAGUGCUCGCACGACAAGGAUGACUGCAAGCAUCAUUGCCCACCAUGCCCGCCGUGCCCGCCGUGCCCACCAUGCCCGCCGCCGAACUACUGGCCGCCGCAGCCGUGGCCCGCAUGCCGGUGCCCGGAGCAGGACAGCCAGUGCUCCAUCAUGUGAUCCAUGGUUCCUUUCUUGCAAAUCUGCUACCUGCCGUGCGAUCAGCUAUGCUCUGCGAUCAUCGUGUGAUCAGUCACAAUAAUCCCACGCUCGUCGUGUACUUGGUUCUCGCGUCGUUCGUUGUGUCAUUUGGGUUGUGUAGUCUGUCUGUGUGUCGUGUCUUACAUGUGCAAUACUAAUGAUGUGUUUUAUUAAUUCCAUGUUACAUCUGUAAUAAUUCGUUGGGUAACUACUAGUCAUUUUCUUUUUGUAUGACGUGUGCUGUAAAGAGAUGCCUACUGGUACUAGUCGAUCAUGGUAAUGAUUUCUAGCAGAUGAAAUUCACAGAAUGCUGUUUUGUGGUUAGAUUCAUUACUACAGAAAAUCUUAACGACAACCUUUUAUUUUGGCCUUUGGAGGCGGAGCCCGCCUCGGUUAAUUCUGGGCGGGCUGCCGGCCCAGCAACUGCCUCGGUUAAUAGGUUAACUAAGACGGUCACUAUAACAUAAUCGCCAUGGUUGGUCACCAGUUAACCGUGACGGCUGGCGUAGAGCAAUCGCCACGGUUAAUUGAUUAACCGAGAUGGUUGUGCUAAAGCAACCGUGUCGCGCGGUUAAAGCCACGAUUAACUAUGACCUUUGAUCCGAGACGGUUGGCUUGCCCGACUCGAUUGGUUAAGUGUUUUUGCCCGCGGUUAAAAAUAGUGUAGUAGCGAUUACUCCGGGCAUGACAUGAUGAAGAAAUCGCAGGUCAACAUCAGUGAGAAACAAGUGGAGUUCAGGAAGCUUUGGAAUGCAUGCAUGGUAUGUGCAUCUGAUCGGAUGGAUGAUAAUGGUUUAGGCCCUGUUUAGUUUCCCAACCAAAAUUUUUUCAUCCAUCCCAUCGAAUCUUUGAACACAUGCAUGGAAUAUUAAAUGUACAUAAAAAAUAAACUAAUUACACAGUUUGGUUGAAAAUCACGAGACAAAUCUUUUAAGCCUAGUUACUCCAUGAUUAGCCUUAAGUGCUACAGUAACCCACAUGUGCUAAUAACAGAUUAAAUAUACUUAAUAGAUUUGUCUUGCAGUUUCCUGACGAGGUAUGUAAUUUGUUUUUUUUAUUAGUUUCUAAAAACCCCUUUCGACAUCCUUCCGACACAUCCGAUGUCAAAAAAAAAAUUCAUCAGCAACGCCUAGAGGUGGCUUACGUCGCAUGUGCCCAGCGGGCAGCAACAUGCCAAACUAAGAAGGCUCGCAGAGAUACCCUAUCUUUAGGGUGGUCCUAUAGAAGACCAAGACUGCUACGUGGACAUAUCUCACAGUGGUGAAAGGAAAUUCAUGUUUUUUGGUACGCAUAUAAGAAUUGAGCAUAAUGCUCCUUAAUCACCUCCCAUCUCUCAGAUUGAAGGCCUACCCAACAAGCCUAUGGAAAAUCUUCGCAGCUCUUUCGUUUUCAGGUUAGGAAGAGGAACGGGAUUAAAAGAGUGAUACAGGAUACAGUGAAGAUGAUGCAGUUUUGGCACGCACUUUUCAAAGCACAGAAGCUACAUGCCUACGCACUACCAGAAACGCGAAAUUUGUCAAGUGUAGUCAUUUUGCCAAGCGCUAAAAAUCGGACACCCGGCAAAUUGCCGAGUGUUGCCCUGGGUAAAAUAAGAUACUUGGCAAACUAACCCUUUGCGAAGUGUCAAACACUUGGCAAAGUGGGCAAAAUGGACCUUUUCCUAGUGUCGACACUCGGCGAAACAAGACACUCUGUAAACUGAUACUUUGCCUAGUGUCAGCCACCCAGUAAAGUUUUGGACUCGAUAAACCACGGUAGCAGCUGACGAACAUCAACUAGCGCUUCGGCUUUGCCGAGUGUCACCUUGUGGACACUCGGCAUAGACUCGUUUUGCCAAGUAUUAUAGCUUGGCCUAGUGUCAAACUCGUGACACUCAGCAAACUAAUAAUUUUUUUCACUAUUGACCUCUAAAAUUGUUCUGUAGUCCUCCUACAGUAACUUAAACUAUAAAUUUAAAUUUGGCACGUUUCUAGAAAUGUUUGCUAUAUUUAGUCAAUUUAUUUCAUUUAAUUGAUUUUUUUGGAUAAUUCAAAUUUGAACUGGAAGUCACUCAAAUAAUGGGAAAAAUGAAUGAAAAAAAUGAUAUUCUUGUUAUUGAGACUAAGUUAAGGCCGUAUCCAUGAACAUAGCACCAAAUUCAAACAUCUUGUUCACGGAACAUGACCUCAAACUUGUGGGCGAGUUGGUUUCAAAUUCUAUAAAAAGCAAAUAAAGUCUGAAAAUCAUAAAACUUGUCGACAUGUCAUGAUAUCGUAUAUGGAAGUUGUGAUAAAAAUUUGAUAAGGUUUCGCGGAAGUUGUGACGUACGAUGCUUACAAACCAAGAUAUCUUCACAUAUGAUAUGACCACAUCGCAAAAUUGAUUUACUGAGACGGUCAUUUUAUUUACAAAGGUGAUUGGAAAAUGCCCGCAUCCGAAAACAGAUUUGAGGUGGUUGUUUUGAGACAACUAUCUCAAAAAGUGAUAUAUUUCCAGAGGUGGUCAUCUUAAGGCGUCCGGGCAGGCACACUAUAAGGCUCGCCUCUGAAAAUACUAGCCCUGCUCCAAGCAUAAGUAAGGCCCAUAUCUAUCCUUCUACCAGGCUCGUAUAUAAGAAAACUUAGAAUUUCUUGUCUUCUCAGUUCAUUUCUCUCCCCACACACUUGAAGCCGAUGGCGCCUCUCCCCCACUCUCCCACAUCCUUAUCCCACCACAGCUGGCACCCCCUUCCCCUCCCUCCCGAGCCCGCCCCUCUCCCUUCCUCUUGGGCUCUAAACGUUGGCGCAGAGCUGGAUCCGGUGGGGGUAGCGCAAGGAGGCCGGAUCUAGUGGGGGCCCUCGACGGCCCUGCAAGGAGGCUAGAUUCAAUGGGUGGUGACACAUGGAGGCUGGAUCCAGUGGGUGGUAGAUUAGGAAUGGGGAUCCAUGCUACCACCACCUCCACUUCCACCUCGGACGUCAUCGGGAAGGCAACGACUCCUCCCAGUGGAUCCACGCCCUUCCCCACAACAGAGGCGCGCAGACAGCUCCUCCCCAUGAAUCCGGUGAAUUUGCUCCCCUUCCCCACCAUGACGACACGCUGGUGGCUCCGCCCGGCGGAUCUGACUCGUGGGCCUAGAAUGGGCUCGUCGGCGGUUCGGAAAUGGGCUCACCAGUAGGCUCAUGGAUUUUUUUAUUGAUUUUAACCGAGGAAAGCAGGGCACCUACUUCCCUAGGUCUGCAUUAACAAAGACCUUUCGACGGGGCAUUGCUUUGCCGACGGCUGCGGGUGCUUUGCCUGCCUUAGUUAACCCAAAAAGCUCACCUCUAGAAAGAUUCUUGUAUAGUAGGGUAGUUUUUGUAUUACUAAUAAUGCAAUGAAGCCAUUUAAUAGUAUAUGUAUAAGUAACUUUUAGUACUAUUUUAAAAUUAUUAAUGAUACAUAAAGGUUCAAUUAGUUUUAGUAUUUUUCUAAUUUAUUUUAUUUAUUUAUUGAUGUAAAUUAUUUUAUAUAAAUUUAUAAUUUCUUGAUAAUUAUUUAUAUAAAUAUAAUAUUGAUUUAUUAAUCAAUAUAUUUAGUUAUUAAAUAAUUAUUUAUAACUAUAUUAGUUUUAUGUGCUUUCCUUGUCUGUGUUCUAUACACGAAUGCUUUAAUCUCUAAUUGUGUGAUAAUUUUGUAAUUCUUGUACUAUUGAUACAGUAAAAUGGCUAUUUAUUUUCUACCAUUUUUAUUUGAAUUUCUUCACUUGAGAUAUUAUUCAAUAUUAUCCACUAUAAUUUAGUUUACUUUGAUAUGGAAAUUGUUAGAAGUGUACUUUCAUUUAGUUCACUUUGGUACUUAAUAGUAACUUUUAUGCAUGCAUGUUAAAUUUAAUAAUAUACAUUUUGAGUUGACUGAAGUAAAUAUCCAAAUAGAAAUUUAAAUCCAAGACAUCCCUUUUUUAUUCGUAUUUGAAAAUAUCUGAAUUUGUAUUUGUAUUCAAAUUAAAAUAUAGUAAGAAGUGAUAUCCGAGUCCGAUUCCAUGCAAAUCCUAUCCAUUUCUAUCCUUACCAGAGCCUAAAUGUCGUGGAUGUAGCUUCUAUUGUAAUGGUUAUUCAUGGGUACGUCUAGAAUACACUUUGAAUUUGUGAUGUAAGCACAAUUAGGUGUUUUGUGAUAAAGAAAAACUUAUUCUAAAAACAUACAAAGAAAAUUGAUAUGUAUCUUCUACGUGUUAGCAUAAAGUCCCUCUUUUAACUCAAAUCUCGGAACACAAACGUUCAUCCCUAUGGACACACAUGCACAUGAGUCAACAGCUAUUAUUUUCUUAGAAAACAAAUCAUUAUUUCCUUUGUAAUCAUAUACCCCAGCUAAAAUUUGAAAGUACUUUCAUGUUAUCUCAAACAAAAUGGGUCUAAAUAAGUUUAGUUACAAUCUAUAUAUCUAAUAUUAAAAAACCAAAACUUCUUCUCAUUUUUUGAUGGGUAUGGGCAUCCCUAACUAAUUCUGUGCAUGUUGAAAAGUGUCUCUAUUCAUGUAUCUAUAAUAACCAUCUUGUUUUAUAUGACACAUAUGCCGGGAAGAAUCCUAAUCUUAAUUCAAAUAUAUCUCUCGGAAUUAGAGCAACCUGAAUAGAAAUCCUAAUUCAAAUCUAUAUUUAUAAUAUUACUAGUAAAACAUGUCUGUGCAUUGAAAUAGGAGAAAUUAAUUAAACUUUUAUGAAAAAUGACAAGUGCUCUGGAGGAUAUCCCAGCAAUGGAGCGCCGCCUCAGACCUUACAAGCGGCAUGGGAGCCACAUGACGAAGAGGGGUGGGAGUCGAUAGCCAGGGGCACCCUAGCUGCGGACACAGCGGUGUGGGCGCCCCGAACGGCCUGAAGGCGUGGUCCCAUCUAAUGUCCUCCACGGACACAGCCGGUUCGCUUGUCUUCACAAUAUUUUUCUCUCACAACAAAACAGCGAACAAUAUUUUUUAUAAUUUCUUGAUUCAAUUCUUUCUCUAAUUUUUUCGGUCUAUUCAUGUAUGGAUGGAGAACAAACUGUUUUUUGUUGACUUUUGGUGAUUGUUAUGGUUGACAGAAGAAACAACAAAUUUAUUGAUUUGAUUUUUUAAGUUGUUGCUUUCUAAAGUUAGUUUGAUUUUGGUUAGGAUAUGGAUCGAUGUGUUCAUUUUGAUUUAGACCCCGUUUGGUUCUCCUUGCUAAAUUUUAGCUACUUAAAAUUAUUUUAGCUACUCUUGGGGGACUAGUGAGACUAAACUAUUUAGCCUUUACAUCCAAACAUGGCUCUCGUCGCCCUUCGCCGAGCCCUCCUCUGCCUCCCGUGAUGGCCUCGGAAAUCCCCCUUAGCAGCCAUGGAAGGCCUCUCCGACCUCCCCUUUAACCACGGUGUGAACUUCGCCGAGCUCGUCGCCCAACGUUUUGGCCGAUCGGUGAGCCCAGUCUCAUCCCACCAUUCCCCUUUCCACCUAGUGGCAAGUUUUGGUCGCUCUGCUGUUCGUCUCAAUGUUGAUUCUGUGAGUAUGAUGCUGCAAGCUUGCCUUGGAGGCAAUGCCAAAGAUUACAAUGUUUUUCACCUUUCGGGUUGGAUGUUUAAAUUCUCUGUCUCCUGCAAAGAUGUUGGUUUCAUGAUCUAUAAGUUAAAAAGCUUCUCUUGCAAACCAUUUCGCAUCUUCUUCCAUCUUUAUGGUGAGGGAGGACCAAAUUGGCGUAGAGAUUAUGAGCUCUGGCACGAGGAACAAGAAGCCGAAUGGCACAUUGUUGGCCCCAAAUCCAAAAAAAGCUACUCUGAUGUUGUUAGAUCAAGACCUAACAAAUCAGUGUUUCUUAGGCUCAAUUACCCCAGCAACUAUGCUUCCCGUUUCAUUGGUCCCCCAUGUUGAUGGUCCUUAAGUAUCAAAUUUAAUUAUCAAAUAAACAAAGAAAAGGAUCCAAAUGAAAUCAACAUCUAGACUUAGGGUUUUAUCUGACAGAAUUCCACGAGUUUUGGUGUUUGUCUAUUUCUGCAGGGGGUUAUCAGGAAAUAAGGAAGAAAGGCCCACACGUCGGGAUUACAAAGAGAUAUUAAUGUGCCGCGCAAUUAUCUUACAUCUAGAAGACUCCAGAAGCCACGGGAAGGAAGCGGAGGCCGAACAGGGCCAGGCACUGGGCGCCCGCCCAGUUGCCCUGGGCACCUGCCCCCUGUUGGACUCCAAUCAGGACUCUCUUUCGGGAUUAAUCUCCACCGACCUAAAGGAUCAAUCUAAACCAUACAAUCAAUGUCGGUUUGAUCUAAUGGCCCAUAUUCACUUGAAGAGACUAUAAAACCAGACCCCCUGGCCCCUGGAGGAGAGAGUCUCUCAACCCUAAUUCAUUAUUCCUCAAGGGAGAAGAAGCCCCUGAUCAAGAUUAGAGCCACCACAUCAAUUAGAUAUCUAGAUUAGCAUAGCUACAUAGGAUUAGAACCAGAAGGAGUCAAUCUUCGAUUGGUUUCCGGAUCUGUCAGGAGGAUUCUUGGUAAUUCUCUAAUUGUGCUUCUAAUUAUCUUUGUUCUACAAUAUUAUGAAUAUGACUUUGUUCUACUUCAAUAUAUUGCUUAUGACUUUACUCUAUUUGCUUAUAUUCAAAAUUAUAUUGUUCUUAGUUUAUCAUAGUUAUGUACUUGGCUUAGUUAGAUUGGAUCUAUAUACAUGCUUAGGAUCGUAUAGCGUUUAUCCAUCGGAUCCAUGGGUAAAUGAUAGAUAUUGUGUAGGCGUGGUGCUUAUACCGUAUUUAUCUGCGAUUGUACCCAAUAUGCCAGAUCGUGGGGUGGUUCGUGAUAGUGACAGCUUCAUUGAUUCUUAUAUAGUCCCCUUCUCGUGUAUUGGGCUGGCAGAGCAACAUUAUUAAAGGGGAGUGAUUGUUAUGUUUCUCAUUUACCUUGCUAAUAUCACUAUGCAUGGGCGUAGUCUUGUCUCACAAUGAUUGCUAAGUAUGCUUGCACUAACUAUGAUAAUGCUAAACUAUAUAGUUGAGAAUAACUUAGGAAAUAUUCUUGUAGUUCGUUCUAAUUCCAUGCUAAUGACUUUCUAGAGUAUCUAAUUGAGGUGCUUAUCAUAUUUAUUAUGUGGCUAAGUUAUGCUGAUCAGAUUAAUUAUCUUUGUCACUAUUCAUUACUUCAUAUAUCUUUUAUGUGACACUUACCCCUGUAUGAAAGAAUUAGAUACAAUGUUCUCAAUUAUACAUGCAAUGAUAGAUACUCAAUCUCAUAUUAUAUUCUGUAAUCAAUAUUGAUGAUUGCUAGUCCCUUCCCAGUGGUAAAAAUACAAAUAACGAUACCUGGAAUACUUCCCGGUUAAAAUGCUACAUCGGUAUUAAUUUGUGCGCUUGCAGAUCCCAUUCAUUAUUUAUUUAGAAGAGCAAUUGCAUAUUUUAAUACCGCGUCUCUCAUGUCAUGCUGGGGAUGACAACUUGGCUUAAGUGGUAUGAGGGAUAGGUUUAGCAUUUUUGGCACCGUUACUAGAAUUAGAAAACUAAGUCUACUUUUGGUAAUGAUGUUAAGAAUACCCAACAAGCAUUUUUGGCGCCGUUGCCGGGGAAGGUUGAUUAGUAAUCAGGAAUGGAUAUAGAUUUUGAGUUAUCAUUCGCAUCACUAAUGUGAUUGAGCUUAUCGAUUCUCUCAUACAGUUUUACCCCGAUAUUUUUCUAUUUUUAUCUUAUGCAGGGGAAUGUAUGAAUAGAAGACAUCUUCUAGGAAAUUUUGUUGACAAUCCCGAAGCAUUAUUCAGAAAAACUAGAGCCAAGCUCAAGAGGAGAUCAUCAACACUUCAGCAAGAAGCUUCAUCCAAUCAAGAAGAUCACCGGAACUUGUCUUCAGAGUUCAAAGCCAUGGCGAACAAAUCAAUUCGCGAGUUCUCAGCUCCCACUACGGACAACAUCCGUACUGGACCUGCUGCAGAGAUCGAUGGCAACUUUGAGCUAAAGCCUGGACUUAUCAACAUGGUGCAAUCCAACCAGUUCUGUGGGAAGGCACACGAAGAUGCUAGUGCUCAUCUCCAACAUUUCCUAGAGAUUUGCAGCACAUUUACCAUAUCAGGAGUCCCCAGAGAUGCUAUACUACUUCGCCUCUUCCCAUUCUCACUAUUAGGGAGAGCGAAGCAGUGGUUUUACGCUACAAAGGAGAAGAAUACUACGUGGGCACUCUGCUCAACAAACUUCCUCGCUAAGUUCUUUUCCAUGGGCAAGACCAAUGCUCUCCGUGGGAAGAUUACAAGUUUUCAGCAACAACAUGACGAAUCUGUUCCAGAAGCAUGGGAGCGCUUUCAAGACUACAUCCUAGAAUGUCCCCAUCAUGGAAUGGAGAGUUGGCUAUUGAUGCAGACGUUUUAUCAUGGGCUCGGCAACAGUGCCCGAGAGACCAUGGAUGCUGCAACUCGUGGAGCAUUCUUAUCACUUACCAUACCGCAAGUCACAGCUCUUGUGGAGAAGAUGGCAUCCAACCAAAGCUGGAAUGAAGAGAGGACCUAGACACGCAAGAGAGGUGGAGGUAUGCAUCAGCUCAAGGAGGUAGACAUGCUGUCUGCUAAGCUAGACCUGCUCAUGAAGAAGCUCGAUGAUAGAGCUGGAGAUAAGAAAGAAGUUAUGCACAUCUACGACUCUCACAAGACUUGUGAGGAGUGUGGAGAUACUGGACACUCAGGCAACCACUGUACUGAGAUGAUUGAGGAUGUGAACUACAUCAACAACAACAACAACUACUACUACAACCGUCCUCAACAAAAUCAAGGUUGGAAUCAACGGAGGCCUAACUACUCAGGUAAUUAUCAAGGUAACAAUUCUUACAACAAUAAUAAUAAUUUUCCACCUCUGAGAGAGUUAGUGUCUAAUCAAGGAAAGCUAAUGGAUAACCUAUCUAGGAAAUUGGCAUCUAAUGAUAAAAUGCUAGAAAAUAUAAAUAAUAGAAUGGAUAAUUUCUCUACUGCCAUCAAGAAUCAAAUUAGCUUUAAUAAAAUGAUUGAAUCCCAGUUAAAUCAAAUACCUGCUGCUGUUCCUACUACUAACCCCGGUAUACCAUCACAACCAGAAGGAUUAGAAUCUGCAAAUCUUGUAGACAUGUUUGAUGCAGGUAAUAAUUGGAGUAACCCCGUCACUGCAGUUACUACUGACCUUCUGCCGGUCAAGAGAGGUGAUCCAGGAAGCCCCGUCAUCCCGAUCGCCAUCGGCAUGGUGGACGUCCCAGAAGCACUCUGCGACUUUGGCUCUAGUGUCAACAUUAUACCCAGGGUACUCUAUGAAAAAUUCUUUACAUAUCCUUUAUUAGAAACAACCAUGUGUUUGCAGUUUGCAGAUCAAGCGUUAAGUUUUCCAAAAGAAAUAUUGAAGAACCUUUGUGUCCGAGUUGGUACCUUGUAUGCCCCAGCAGACUUCGUGGUGAUAGAGACCGGUAAUGAUGAGAGAGCACCCAUCAUCUUAGGGAGGCCAUUCUUAAACACCUCGGGAGCUGUCAUCUAUGCUAGUGCUGCCAAGAUCAGUUUCUACAUCAAGGGAAGAAAGGAGACAUUUUUCUUCAAGAACAAGACUACACAAAUCCCAGAUCAAUCCAGACGUGAAUCAAGGAAGAGGACCAACAGGAGGAACAGGAACAAGCAAGUGUGGACCGAGUCAGCUAAGAUGGUCACUGCAGUUCAUGGAGGCCAAGAUCAUCAACUUAAGUCACUGUUUCUGACCAAGAAGGAUGACCCAGGAAUGCCAAGCAUCUAUUGCUCCAUAAAUGGAUACAACUUCUACAAGACAACUUGUGACACCGGAUCGGGCGUCAACAUAAUGGCCGCAGUCACCUAUCGGCUCUUGUUCGGAACGAUGCCCCUGAAACCAACAUACAUUCAGCUCCAGAUGGCAGAUCAGACGUUUCGAGAUGUUAAAGGAAUAGUAACUGAUGUCCCAGUCAAAGUAGACGAUCAUUUUGUCUACACAGACUUUCAGGUUAUUGAUAUGGGAGAAGACGAGUACGAUCCAACCAUCAUCCUUGGAAGACCGUUCCUCAGCACCGUUAAAGCAAUCAUCUACAUUGGAACCGGAGAAGUCCAUAUGCACUUCCCCUCAGAGAAGGUACGUCGCUAUUUUACUGACCCUAACUAUAUCGUUGAAGAAUCUAAGCAGGUCAGAAAGCGACGGAACCGCAACCAGAGGAUGCAAAUUAUCAAGGACGGAUGGGCAGACUAUGAAGGAGAAGUUGUAAGGUCAGAAGACAUACAGUUUAAACAGAACUAUCCUGAGGAGACUGAAGCACCAAGUCAGGUGUGGAGAGAGAAGAUAACCAUACAUGAAGAGGAGGCGCCGCCGGAAGUGCCGACUACGCCACCCAACGAAUCCCAGGAUAAUUAAGAAAAUGGAGAGUCCCGUUCGGAGGACUUAAAAACACCGAACGCCCUGCCAAGAGGUAAACUUGGUAGUUAUCCUUUCCCUUUCGAUUGUUUUAAAUAGUUUACUUAAUUAGUUAUAAUCAUACUAUCCUAAAAAGAAAAUAAAAAUGUUAAAACAGUAAGCCCCAUGUGAGUAUACAAGUGGCAUGAAACCCAUAAGUACAUUCACUGUGGUGGCAUAAAAAUAAAAUAAAUAUUUCUUUUCUGCUUUAUAAAAUGAAAAUAUAAAAAAUAGGGAGUAACAUUUAUUGAGGAAGCUCAACAUGAUAAAGGCUAGAUAUUUAUGCUAACACUUAAUCAGUUCCACAAAGCUUUGUUGUCUAUUUGAGCUCCAUAGAAAUCAAGAAUCAAGAAGACUAGCAGACGGAGGACAUUCUAAUCGCUGUCAGAAUGCUGCUGACUUUCAAAUACACCUCUGCCACCUGCUAGCUACAUCAAGAGAAAUUACGUUAAAAUUCAGCUUGGGGGAGAGCACCCCGAUUUAUCCUGAUAAGUAUUUCUAUCUAUCUUUACACUUAUAUUAUAUUAGAAUAUAAAUAUACAUAAACUAGGAAAAACCAAAUAAAGAUUUUGUGCCUAUAUAAAUAUAUGUCUUUCUCUUAGUGUGUUUAAUAAAUAAAUAAAGUGGCUAUGCUAAUCUGAAUCUUAAUAAUAAAACUCUAGUAUGGAUAUGAUGAAUAGUUGCUCUGCCUAAUUUGCAAAUUUGAAGUUCUCUCAAGUUUAGACAUAACUGUUAUAAUUUAAAGCUUGCUCUAAACCUAAACUUGUGGGAUGAAAACUUGAUCUAAAGUCUAAGUUGUUAACGGAUAUGAUAUGGGAAGGUUGAGCUGCUGUUUAUCUGUUCCUAGAGAUGCUAGAAUUCUAGAGAAUUUUAUCUUUGAAAAUCUUUAACACAUGAUGAGUUCCUGUAUGAUGAGAGUUUAAAUUCCUACCACAGCCAUAUAUACAUGCUUGCUAGACUUUGAGCCACACAUUUACUUUUUACUGCUUAUGAGCAUUGAGUGUGGUCAAGCUGUGUAGACCCUUAGGAGCUUGUCAUGUGGUUAAAUCAAGAUUCACUUGCAUGUUCACUCAUAUAUGCUACUUCUACUCCGGAAGUACCAUCCACAUAUAUCCACUCAUUUCCAUCUCCAGAACCACCAAAAAAUAUUCUACUCCUAAUCCGGGAGAGAAUAGCCAAAAAUAUUUCUGUUUUUCCCCUGUGAAAUAAAUGCUCAAGUUAUCUUGUUACUACCACUUGCUAUAUUAUCUCAUGAGAUGAGUGCUCUAAAAAAAAGAGAGAAAAAAGACACGAGGAAAUAAAAAGGGGCAAGUGCCCGGAACCUCGAAAGAAAAGAAAGAGUGAGACGAGAGGUAAAAAUGGACAAGUGUCCGACAGUAGAAUUAGGGAUACAAGAUACCCACCUGAGAGGAAAGAAAAAGAAAAUAAGAGCAUCUCAUUCUCCUCACAAAAUUUCAAAAAGCAAGAAAGGUAUGUAUCCCCUCAAAGAGCAAAAGUAGAAUUAGGCUUUCACCAUUGUUAUCACCAUCAUCACCAUACACCAUUCAUUCGCCACACAUGCACAUCUUGAUUUGACUUAUUGAUUUGUUUCUAUGGAUCCAUGGUUUGACUAUACAAUAAAUGUCUUGUAAGUAUGUAUACUUUAUCUCCCACCUAUGAGCUCCAGAUAUUAAAAGCCUUAUUAGAGUAGGGUGAGAGAGAACGCAAAUGUAUGCCUUAUACCACAAAUACCACAUAUUUUGAGAGAAGGCAUAUACCAUCACUGCCUUGGUAAGGAUCUAGAAAUACCAAAAAAGAGAGAUUUGAGAGAAUCAUACAAGGAAUCUCUGAGUUUUAUUUGAAAAUCUGCAAAAACUCCAGAGCUAUAGCUGAUCAAGAAUAAGAGACAUGGCACUUGGCUAGACUGUUCUAUCUUUUAACUACUCAAGACAGAAGUGACGGUUACAAG